UCCCUCUCCAGCAGAGAGUAUCACCUCCUGAUUUAGGAUCAUCAGGCUCUGUUCACUGGACCUGACCCUGCCUGCAGGAUUACAUUGCAAAGCUUUCACUCUUCCCCACCUUGCCUGGGGGUAAAUCUCUUCUGCGGAAUCUCAGAAAAUCAAAUUCCAUCCUAAGAAUAUUUCACCAAGAAUUUCCUUAGAAGCUGUGCUGGGUAAGUACACUAUUCAGAAUAAAUAUAUGUAUUCUGAAUAGUUCUCAUUUAGUUUGGCAAUUCCUACUGUGGAAUUUAGUGACACUGAAAUAAUAUUGAAACAUAUUCUCAUUUAUUUCACAUUUUAAAGAAACUACAGUGUAUUACUCCCAAAUGUAUACAAAAUCUAUUACUACUAGAUGUUAUUAUGCACAGUGAUAUUCUAGAAGAUAAAUUUAGCAAGUAAUAAAAAUCUAAAUGGAUUAAAAAGCAUACUUCUAAACAAAUAUCUUAAUCAGGAAACAAUGCCUUUUAAAAUUAGCUCUACUAUUAGCUAAGCUUAAAUUUUGACAGCUGGAAAACAUUUUCCCCCCAGGAAGGGUCUUUAAACUUUUAUACAGUUAGUACUCUGAGGGGGGGGGGGGGGGGGAGAAGAAUAACUACUUAUGGGGUCUUGGAGUCUCUGCAAAAUUGAACAAAAUGGAGAAUUAAAAAGAAAAGUAAUCACUUUGGAAUUAUUAUUAUAUGUGUCUUCUAUUUGCCUUUUAUUUGCACAUAUAUCUCUAGUAAUUGAACUAAUAGAAUUUUCACUGUUCAUUGUGGCCAGAUGUGCUUAAGUCUCUCUCUUACUAACCCUGAAUUGUUUCCGCUGUAUCUGAUCAGGGGGUGGGCUACAAAAGAAAAAAAAUCCCAGCUAGGAUUAAGAAAAUGUUAUUUCCACAUUAAGUAUAAUUUUACAACUCUUUAGCUAACAAUGCAUUGCUUCAAUUUCUCUGGUAUCUCUCUGCAAGCUUUUGGGGGGACGGCGUGAAAUAGAGAUAACUGUGAAUAAAGAAAAGUGACAAAGUUUUUCCAAAUAAGUAUAGCAGAUUAUUAAAUAGAGAAUUUAAAGUGUGUAUUUUUUAAAAAAGAAUUUCCAGAAAAAAACUUACAGUAAUGUUGAGAUGAAACAUCUGUUAAUGCUUCCUUCACCAGUACAGACUGUCCAGGACUAUUAAGAAACUAUUGUCUACUUAAGUGUUGGUAUAGAGAUGUCACAAAUUUGUUACUAAGAAAAAUUAGAUGUCAGAUUUGGGUUCAAAUUAUAUUGAUUGAUAUAAUUUACUUAUAUAAAAAUUAAGUGUCAGAUUUGGGUUCAAAUUAUAUUGAUUGACAUAAUUUAUCUGUGUCUAUAUUCUUUCUUACCUAUGUAAUUAUACUGUGCAGAAUGUCCUUCAGUGGAGAAAUCCUGUACUUAAUCACCCAUAAUCUGGCACAUUAACAGUGUACAACAAACUUAUUCUGAGUAACUCCCUCAUAAUUUUCUACUCAAUUUUUCCACAAAUUUCUCCAAAUAAUGGAAACUUCAAUUAAGCCUUUUAUUUUGUGAUUCUUAAAAAUAUUGUGACUGAUUUCCUAUCGCCUUUCAACCAUUAAUUGUUUUGAAUGCCCUGACACAUGCGUAGAAUUAGAAAAAGUGUUUUUAGAAUGUGACUUUGUAAAUAGCCAUUAGGUAAUUAGGGAAGGAAAUGAAAAGAACACAUUAAAUGCCUAACCCAAUGCCAUGGGUUAGUAAUAAAAAUUAAAAUAGCAUUAUUUUUAAUUUAUAUUAUUUUCUUAGAAGGAGAUAUUAUAUUAAUAUAAUAUUUUUAAUAAGGCACUCCCCACACAUAUCUAAUUUUUAUUUAAUUGCUAACCAAAAACCCAUAAUUUUCUUCCAUAACAAUUAAAUUUUUGUUAACUGUACUAAUAGUGUGGUUUAUAAUUUUUAUUUUCAGAAAAUACUGUUGAGAAACACUAGGUAACGAAUUUUGAAGGUCAUCAGGCAAAGACUUAUUAUUUGAGAAAAUAAUUGAACAUUUUAAAUAAGAACUCAUAUUAUUAUAUUCUAAAGUUUGUUUUCUUUAAUGAUAAGAGAGUAUCAGAGGAUCAAUGCAUGCUUUCAGCCAUAAAGAAUUCACUUAUUUUUCUAGAUGCUAUGGGAUCGUAAAAGCAAUGCAGAGUCUAAGGCCAGUUAUAAAUAUGGAAAAUGAAACAUAGGGUUGAGAAAUUGUAAGAAUAAUGUGAGUUAAGGUCUGUUUUACCUGCAAUAUUCAGUUAUCUUUAAGAGAUAUGCUUUUGGUUACCACUACAAGGUCUUUCCCCCCCUAAUAUAUAUUAGCACAUUCCAAAAUAUUGUUUUAUUAAACUAUGUAAAAAUGUUAAAAUAUAUAAAACUACUCAUUCAAUUUGAAAAAAAGAUUGGGAAAACAGGAAAAUAAAAAAGAAAUUAGAAUUGAUUCUGUAGUUUUAAAAAUGAUGUUAAAUGAAUGACCACCGUGUAUAUACUUUACCUACUGGUGAUGCCUAGGAUACGUUUAAAUGGAAUCAACACCCUAGCAUAUUUAUGAGAAUCUUCACAUUCAUCGUAUAUAUUUACCAUUAUUUUGUACACACCAAAUUUAUUUCAGUAAGAAAUUCAAAAUAAUAUUAAGACAAAAAAAGAUGAUUUUAUAUGCUUUAUGCUAAUGUGGAUAAAUUAUUUGAUAAACUCAUAAAAUUAAUCAAACUUCUGUUAAUAAUAUUAGUAUAUAUUUCUAACUUGCAUCAUUUUUGUAACAAAUAUAACACUAUGUUGCUUUCAACUUUUCUCUCCAUGGUUAAAAUUUGAUAGUACCUUAAUUUUUAAGAAUUAUCUUACAGAUAUUUAUACGAAAAUUAACAAAAAAAAUUAAAGGAUCAAAAUAUACAUUCAUGAAACAAAACUGAUUUUAUACUCUAUGUAUGAUUUUGAACACAGCUUGAAAAAAUAAUUCUGUUUUAGAGAUAUCAUGAUUACGAUACCAACUUUUCAAAACACAAAUAUGUUCAAAAGACAUUAUUUGAAGUCAUUGGCUUUAUUCUCUAUCUUAUCUUUGUUUCGUAUUCAGAGAUGCUAUUAACCCCAAAACAUAAGUUAUAUCAUUGCAAUGGUGUUAAUGAAAGACACUCAGAGUCAAAUUUGUAACACCUCUGUGUUCUUGACUCAAUCAGACUAUCAGAGAAUACACUUAAUAUGAAAAGCCAGUACCCAGCUAUAUAAAACAUUUGUCUGUAUCUGGGUUUAAAGCCCACGCGUGAACCAUAAACAUUUAUAAUUUCUUAGGAAAGCUCUCUUUUUCUACCAAAGUACUUCUACCCUGCUGCAUUAUUAAAUUAUUUCAAAAAAUCUGCUCAUUUAAUAUAAGAAAAUGUUUUGAUGAAGUUAUGGAAAAUAAGAAUGCACCAGAAACACAAGAUCAGGGUUACAUACCAACAAGAUAUUUCAAUCAUUUCCCCAUUUAUUCACAUAAACAAUCAUUCCUAUCCAAAUUCCUUCAUCAAUAGCAGUUACACACCUCAAAGUAUCUUGGGACUCCUGGGGGCGGGGUCAGGCAGUUAAACAACUGACUCUUGAUUUCAGCUCAGGUCAUGAUCUCACAGUCAUCAGAAUGAGCACCGCAUGGGGCUCUGUGCUGACAAAACGGAGCCUGCUUGGGAUUUUCUCUCUCCCUUUUUAUCUGCCCCUACUGCACUCUUUCUCUCUCAAAAAUAAAAUAAAAUAAAAUAAAAUAAAAUAAAAUAAAAUAAAACCUUAAGAAUAAAAAGUAUCUGGAUGAUUUUCAUGCCUUAACUUUGAUUUACCUCCCUGUAAUUUGGUUCAUAACUUGGAAGAUGUAUAGUCUUAAUUAGUAUAAAAUCGAAGAAGUAAAAGGUGGACUGCAUUUAAUUGUACAGUUUGAAAUGUAAAUACUGAGCUAGUGUGAUUUAAGAAGAACAUAUAAUUAGAUAUAUGAUAAUUAAGUCAACAAACCUAUUUAAAUAACAGGAAAUAUAUUUUCAUACAUUAUAUUGCCAUUUUGUUUAAACAGGAAAGUCUUCAAUAAAUCUAGAUUAUUAUUUUUUCAUGUCUAAUUAGUAUUAUAAUAUUGUUCAUUAAAUCAGAUUAAUAAAAUAAUCUGCAUUUUCCAGUAUUUGUGUAAUCUUAAAUCUAAUUGUUUUUACUUCAAUUAUUUUACCAAAAAUUGAAGACAUGAAUUUAAUUUUUAACAAAACAAUAAAAGUCUUAUUAUUAUUUAAAAAUAAAGUAGAAUCACUUACUGUGAACUGAGUUAGAGUCUAUGUUUAUUAGAUUAUUAGUACUAAUUAUCAGAUGAUAAAUUGCAAAUAUUUUCCUAGAACCUGUUUCCUCCUUUUUUUACCUUUAGUUUGUUUACUUAGAAGAGACAGUAUUAUGCAGUAUCAUUUGCAAAUGACAGUAUCAUUUGCAAAAUGGUCAAAAGAGUGUAUUCGUUUUUAAAAUGUAAGACUUUUUUUAUUACUUCACGCUUUUAAUUAAAUAUAUAUAUUUUUUUACCUUGGUAUCAAAAGGGCAGAAAACUCAACCCAACACAGACAUAAAUAAGUGAGCAAAUAAAUAAAUAAAUAAAUAACCAACCUAUCUCUAUGGUAUCAAGGCUAUACUAUAGCUCAAUGCUUUACUGAGGUGGUUGGAUAGAGUCAAAUUUUCAGAGACAUCGUAUUCCCCUUAACAUGCGAAUAUAUUUUUUAAUUAAAAGAUGUUAAUAUGGUAUAAACUUUUAUAUAAAUCUGUCAUUAUUUCCCUAUUCAGGUUUAGGUUAAUCUGAGCCCAACCAGGUUUCCAUAAAACCAUGGUGACUCCUGAACAUGUCAUUUGGUCUAUUAAAUAACAGUGAUACAGUGAAAUGGCAACUAUGUGGUUUAUAAGAGUGCUGCUUCUCCUCACAGAUUAGUCACAUAGAGGUUUAUUAGCAUAUUCGGGAGCACACGGGUGUUUUAUCAAUCAAAACUAAAAUAAAUUUGUUUUAUAUCCAAGUAUCAAUUUCAUAAAUUCUACAAAUGAAUAUUAAUUGAAUCCAUAUCCAUUGAUUAACAUGAGACCAAAUGUUGUUUAGAUAUUUUGUGCAUAAACCUCAAUUUUGCUUCCUUUCCAAGGAUAAUAUGAAGGGAAAAUGGGAACUUUGGUAAGUACUAGAGAAGAAUAAAUUAUGUUAUAACUGAAAAUAAGGAGGAUUAAAGCUAUGGGAAAAGAUGUCAUCAGUACAAAAUGUGUUUUUCUGUUUUAUUUUCUUGUUUUUUUUUUUUUUAACUCUAGUUGUUUUCAAAUGUGAGGCAAAAGAGCAGACUUGAUUUCACUUAGGUAAUGGAAACCUAAUAUUAGACUUCCAUGUUUAAAUGUUUUAUUAAUCAGUCUACAUAUGUCUUUGAAAAUUUAUUUUCAAUGAAUUUUUUUUUAUUUUAAAUCUUUCUUAAAAUGUGCCAAUAUACUUUUUUAGCUAAGGCAAAAAAUAUAACCUAUGCAUUUGUAUUUUAGAAAUGUAGGUAUAAUCACUGUUUGAAGCAACUGCCUGGAAUGGAGUAUACUUCAGACAGUAUUCAUGUCAUAUACAGUUAGGACAUUGCUACAUUUGAAAUCUGUUAAACAUAAUUUCAUUAAACUCCCAGUUAACUAACUAAAAUAUCUUGGAACUUGUCAGGUUUAUUUUCGUAAAUGUAUAUAUUUAUUGUCAGCUUAAUCCUCUGGUCCUUGACAUUAUUAGAUGAAGAUACAUUAUUGAAUGCACAUAUCUUAAUAUCCCUGAGGGAUAAAUAACAUCAUUUAUUAUUAUUGUUGUUGUUGUUAUUAUUAUUAUUAUUUUGCCUCAAAUAGGAGUGUCAGCCUUCUCUGCUGCAGUACUCUCUCCCAAUGUCAGCAGUGGGUGAAUUUUUCCAUACUGCACUUAUACAAGAGAACCCCUUUUUAAAGGAUGGCUUGCUCUGUUGAGAUUAUUUAGUUAAUUUCUUUGAGGACUUGCUCUGUGCCAUGUAUAUAUAUAUUGUUAGUUACUCAUAUAUAAACUCAUUUAGCCUUCCCCAAAGCCCCAAGAAAUACUAUUAUCAUUAUUAGUAUUAGUAUUAGUAUUAGUAUUAGUAUUAGUAUUUGCAGAUAAGAAACAUCAAAAACAAGAGAACUUUUAAGUAAUAUGCCCAAGAUCACAUAACUAUUCAAGUGGAGGUACCAGGAACUGAAUCCUGGCAAUCAGGCUCCAGAGCUCAUGCUCUUAAUCACUCUGCUUCCCUUUCCAAUUGGUUGCUGGUCUCUAGUCACCCCUAGUGUGAAUGGAUGCUGUUCCUAGAACCUUAGGUUUUAAGUGCAGAUAUAUUGUGAGUUUUGUUCUAGUUUAUCUCAAUAAAGUGAAUAUCACAAUUAAUAAAGGAAGUCAAACAAAUCUUUUGGUUUCCCAGUACAUGUAAAAGUUAUGGAAACAGUAUAGUGCAAUAGCAUUAUGUUUAAAAACAACACAUAUAUCUUAAUUAAAAAAUACUUUACUGCUAAAAUAUACUAAACAUCAUCUGGAGGCUUGAGUGAGUUAUAAUCUUUCUGCUGCUGGAGGGUCUUGCUUUGAUGAUGAUGGCUGCUGACUCAUCAGGGUGGUGGUUGCUGAAGGUUGAGUGACUGUGGCAAUUUCUUAAAAUAAGUCAAUGAAGUUUGCUGCAUCCACUGACUGACGAAUGAUUUCUCUGUAGCAUGAGAUACUGUUUGAUAGCAUUGUACUAUAGUAGAACUUCUUUCAAAAUUGGAGUCAACUCUCAAACCCUGCAUCUGCUUUAUCAAUUAAGUUUAUGUGCUAUUCUAAAUCCUUUGUUGUCAUUUCAACAUCUUCACAGCAUCUUCAUCAAGAAUAGAUUCCAUUUCAAGAAACCACUUUCUUUGCUCAUCCACAAAAAGCUCAUCUGUUAAAGUUUUAUAAGAUUAGAGCAAUUCCAUCACAUCCUCAGUCUCUACUUCUAAUCCUCUUGCUAUUUCUACUACAUCUGCAGUCACUCCUCCACUGAAGUCCUGACUCCCUCAAAGUCAUCCUUGAGGGUUGGAAUCAACUUCUCCCAAACUCCUGUGAAUGCUGAUAUUUUGACCUCUUCCCAUGAAUCAUGAAUGCUCUUAAUGACAUCUAUAAUGGUGAAUCCUUUCCAGAAGGUUUUGGUUUGCUUUGCCUAGAUCCAUCUCACUAUCCAUGGCAGCUGUAGCUUUAGGGAAUGUAUUUCUUUUUUUUUUUUUUAUUUUUUAAAUUUUUUUUUUUUCAACGUUUAUUUAUUUUUGGGACAGAGAGAGACAGAGCACGAAUGGGGGAGGGGCAUAGAGAGAGGGAGACACAGAACCGGAAACAGGCUCCAGGCUCUGAGCCAUCCGCCCAGAGCCCGACGCGGGGCUCGAACUCACGGACCGCGAGAUCGUGACCUGGUUGAAGUCGGACGCUUAACCGACUGCGCCACCCAGGCGCCCCUAGGGAAUGUAUUUCUUAAAUAAUGAGACUUGAAAAUACUCCGUCAUCCAUGGGCUGCAGAAUAGAUGCUGUCUUAGCAGGCAUGAGAACGAUAUUAGUCUCAUUGUACAUCUCCAUCAGAGGUCUUGGGUGACCAGAUGCAUCGUUAGUGAGCAGUAACAUUUAGAAAGGAAUCAUUUUUUUCUGAGUAGUAGUUCUCAACAGUAGGCUUAAAAAAUUCAGUAAAUGAUGUUGUAAACAGAUGUGCCAUCAUCCGAGUUUUAUUGUUCUAUUUUAUAGAGCACAGACACAGUAGAUUUAGUAUAAUUCUUAAGGGCUCUAGGCUUUUUGGAAUGGUAAACGAGCAUUGGCUUCAACUUAAAGUCAUCAGUUGCCUUAGCCCUCAACUAGAGAGUCAGUCUGUUCUUUGAAGCUUUGAAGCCAGGCAUUGACUUUUCCUCUCUAGCUAUGAAAGUCCUAGAUGACAUCUACCUGUAGGAGGCUGUUUUGUCUACAUUUAUAAUCUGUUGCUCCAUGUAACCACCUUCAUUAAUUAUCUUAGCUAGAUUUUCUAGAUAAUUUGAUGCAGUUUCUGUAUCAGCAGUUGCUGCUUCACCUUGCACUUUUAUAUUACAGAGAUGGCUUCUUUCCUUAAACCACAUGAACCAACCUCUACUAGUUUGAAACUUCUUAUUCAGCUUCUUCUCCUCUCGCAGCCAUCAUACAAUUGAAGAGAGUUAGGAUCUUGCUAUCUUGCUCUGGAUUAGGCUUUGGCUUAAGGGAAUGUUGUGGCUGGUUUGAUCUUCUGUCCAGACCACUAAAACUUUUUCCACAUCACCAAUAAGACUCUCUAGCUUUCUCACUCUUUGUGUGUACCCUGGAGUAGCACUUUUAAUUUCUUUCAGGAACUUUUCCUUUGCAUCUGCAACUUGGCUAACUGAUGCAAGAAACCUGGCUUUUGACCUAUCUCAGCUUUCAACAUAUCUUCCUAAGUUUAAUCAAUUCUAGCUUUUGAUUUAAAGUGAGAGACUUGUGACUUUUCCUUUCAUUUGAACACCUAGAGGCCACUGUAGGAUUAUUAAUUGGCCUAAUUUCAAUAUAGUUAUAUCUCAUGGAAUAGGAAGGCCCAUGGAAAGGGAGAGAGAAGGGGGAGCAGAGAGGAUACACACACUUAUUAAGUUCAUCAUUUUGUAUGAGCAUGGUCAGUGGUGCACAAAACACUUACUAUUGGUAAUAGGAAAGAACACUGAUCCCAGAUCACCAUAACAAUAUAAUAAUAAUAAUGAAAACAUUUGAAAUAUUCAAUUACCAAAAUGUGACAUAGAGACAGGAAGUUAGCAAAUGCUGUUGGACAAAUGGUACUGAUAAGCUUGGUACAUGCAAUGUUACCACAAACCAUCAAUCUAUAAAAAAUGCAAUAUCUGAGAAGCACAAGAAAAUGAAGCACAAUAAAAUGAGAUAAGCCUGUACAUAGUAGGUAGAAUUUGCAAUUGGUAAUGUCCCAUCUUUCAUUCUGUAUGCAUUUCCUUCCACUAUGUUCCUUCAUCUAUACUUGCUUAACCCUCACUGUCCUCUAAAUCAAAUGCCCAGUAGUUACUCUCUAGCCUCCAGUAGUCAAGAGUUGCUUGAAAAACAAAGAUUUUGAAGAAUUCUUUCUUCUUCAGAAAACCUCAUGUUUGCUAUUUAGCCUUCAAGCAAUUGGAUGUGACCCAUACACAUAUCUAGAUAAUCUCCUUUAUUUAAAGUCAAUUGAUGGUAAAUGUCAAUCACAUCUACAAAAUAACUUUACAGAAACAUCAAGGCUAAUUUUUGAUCCAACAACUGGUCACCAUAGCCUGGCCAAGUUAACGCAUACAAUUAAACAUUGCAAGCAGUUAAGGGCAUUCAUCCAUAUUUGCUCUUUUUUUCCCAAAAAUUAUUUAGGUUUUCAAAUUUUGGAAACUCUUCAAACUUUCUGCUGGAAUGAUAGUUGGAAUUACAAUGAAUUUAUUAGUUGAAUCAAAAAUUAGUAAUGUCUUAAAAAUGUUAAGUCAUCCAACUAUGAGCAAGAUAGAAAUUCUCCAGUUACUCAGGGCUUUUUGUUUGUUUGUUUUUUUGGAAGGGGGUAGAAUCUGAUUUGGUUCUUUUUUUUUUUUGAUUUGGUUCUAAAUGUAAGUAGAAGAAAUAUUUAAAGCAAUUAUAUUAUAAAUGAGGGAGACUAAAAGGAUAUAAGUUUUCUACAUUCCACCCCCUCCUGCCACAACGGUAGCAUGUUUUUCCCCUAUAUGGUUCACAUAAGACCUUCCAAGAUUGCUCAUCCUUUUAUGAAAUUAAAGUCUGUUCUCUUUGCAGUAUAUUUUAUCUGGGGAACUUUCCGUUCAUAUCAGAAUUUAAUACUGUCAGAGAACAGUUGUAUUUUAAGUUAUAUGACUUCUUGCUAUUAAGGAGUGCUAGGGUUAAACAGAAUGAUCCUCAGUUUAGCAAACACUCACAACGUGCCAGGCCCAAUGCUAGAUGUUAAAGGUAAGCAAGACAGGACCCCUGCUCUGGACAACAUCAGCUCCACCUCAGUGCUGUGUAACAGUGCCGAUUAAACUAUGAACUCUUCAUCUAUACUGCUGGCCACCACUCUACUUUUCAUCUUGUCAUAAGAUCAGGACUGAAUGCCUGAGCUAGAAUGUUUUGUAAAGUGACAAAUCUUGAUAAAUCAGAUAUUUUCUGUACAUAUUUAUUAUAUUUGGGAAACCUUGGGUUACAGAUGAAACAUUACAAAAAAAAAACCUGAAGUAAAAAACAGUCUAACGGAUUCUACUUAGCUCACAAUUGUAUGUGCUUUGGCUAAGAUAUUCUGAAAUCUCUUAUUUUCAACUGCUUCUAAUGUAAUUUGGAACUUUCAUACUUUAACAGAAAGAUUUCCUUGCAUCUAAAUCAAUUACAGAUAUCAUGGUUGGGUAUCAGAAAUUGUUUACUUUUAAGAGAGAAAGAAUGUGGUUAAAGAAAGAUAUUCUUAAGAAUAAAGCUUUGAAGCAUGAUUGGUUUCAUUAAUUUGAACAGGAAGGGCUUCAAAUGAGAUAUGAGCAAGCGUUAAAGUCUAGAACAAACUGACAGGGGUAAAGUCCAUAAAAUGAUUUUCUUAAAUAUUGUUUAAUAUUUUUAUUAAUUGAAUUCCUCACAUGAGUUAACUUCCUUAGUUAUACAUUUUCCAAAAGGAUUUCCUGUGCUGUGUUCCAUGUUAUCAGUUCAAAAUUAUUAGAAAACACUUACUGAGUCUUUUUGAUCAUAAAAUUAAUACAUGUCCAUACUUAAUGAACCAGAUUCCAGCCUACUUCCUUCAAAAUAAAUACACCAAAGUUAACAAAGAGUUUAUGUUUGAGUCAUUGUAUAACUCAAACACCCUUUAAAAACCCACUAAUUAUGUGAUUUUUCAGAUUAACUCUGAAAGCUGAUUAUUCACUGAAUUCUCAAGUGUCAUAAAAGACUACAUAUUUAAGGUUACAAAGUCUCAACUAUAUCACUUCUAGUAUCAUCCUUACCAUUAAGGACUACAUGUUCAAAACUUUUCAUGUUACAUAGCGCUUCUGAAGCUAGAGUCCUGAAUAAGCUACAUAAAUCUAGUUAAUGGGUUUCGAACUUAGAAAUAGGAGAUUCUAGCUCAUUGUGUCUUCAGAGGGUUUCAUUAAGUAUAACCACAAUGUAGGUCUUGAAAUAGCAUCUGCUUUAAAAAAAAAAAAGUUAGAUUUCUACAUUUAGACAACAUUCCACCCCUAAUUACUCAAAAUCAUGUAGACUUCAAGGAUAGUUCUCCAUUCUGGCCUAUGUUUUUGCUCCCAGUUACAACUGCAUAGUUUUAUAAUCAUGGAAGGGACACAACCUGUAAAUACAAUAUGUGAGAUUUUCUGUCUUUCCUAUCAAAUCCAACUUGAAUGAUUCUUUAGAAUUAAAUUUGUAGUAAACAACAAAGAUCGUUGUGCAUCAUAUUUAUUGAUACAAGAUUAUAAUAGCAAUUAAUGAAAGAGUACUCAUUUGAAUGAACUAAGUAACUUUUUAAGUUUAUUAUAUCUCCUUUACUCUUCAUCACAUACUCAUCAUUACAGCACCUGAAUAAAAACAAAAUGAAUAAAUAAAUAAUAAAAUGUUAAUCUUUAUUACUGGUGGGCCUAUAGUUCCUGGAUUCCAGGCUUUAGUAUUUCUUCUUUCUUCAUCUCCAGGCAAAUUUAUUUCUUAUUAAAGAAGUAAAUUCUGAUAUCAACUGGCAUAAAAUUAAAGGAAUGCAAGCACAUUAUCUGAAACAAGAUUAAAAAUUAUCUGUGGGUUUCUUUUAAAGAACAUAGAAUGCUCUUUUCUCAGAAAUCCAUUGCUGGCCUUUGCCAGAUACAAACUUCCCUAUAGCCUUUGCUCAGAUACAAACUUUUUUCUGGAACCUAACCUCUUUAAACACAGUUACACCUACACGACCAUAACCCUUUUGCUCAUUGUCAUUUAUUUUUGUUUGUCCUAGCUUUUUCCUAAAACGCCAAUCACAUUGCAACAAAUCAUCAACUACAAUUUACAUAUUUUCUGUGUUAUUGUCCAUUUUCUGUCCAUUAUCUCUAAGCUCUACAAGUACAAGCACUUCUUCCUGCUUUUUUUCCCCCACUAAUAUAUCCUAAGCACCUAGGUAAGUGCCUAUACAAAGUAGGUGCUUAAAAAUUUCUUAACAAAUGAUUAAUGAAUGAAUAUGUUUCUUUGUAUCAGUCUCCACGGAAAACUAGAGAGAGACUCUACGUGAUUUUGUCUGCAGUAUCCAAUAGAUUCUAGAGCUGAAAUUUUGAAGGUGUUGUAAACAUGACCCAUGGCCGAAGAGAAAAUACUCAGAAACUAAUUAUCAUUUUGUUAUUCUUAGGUCAACCUAAUAUUUAUUCCUCCACUGCCUUUGUAAAGGGAAAUAAAUUAGUAAAGAUGCUUUUCUGUAACGUAGUCAGUGUUCAGGUUUCACUGAAUUCCAAGGAGUGACCUUUCAAACUAGGGUAAAUGAGAAGGUUGCUUGGUAUUUUAGCACAAAAUGUUGAAGCAUUUCCCCAAAUGGCCAAACAAUGGCUGAAUUUGGCAGAAUUUCUUGUUGAAACUGGCAGACCUGCCAACUGUUGCCUCCCAACAAAAGUCUUAACUCCAUUACUUAUUGCCUUUCUGGACAAUAACACUCAAAUGUCUAUAGAAGGAGAAAAAAACGCAGCAGUGGAAUUUAGAGGAAAGCAAAUCAAUCUUUUAAAAAAAUACAUAUGGCAAAAUAGAAAUUCUGUUUAAUUUACAAAAACUAUACCCCGUUUGAUAAGUGAUGAGUUAUGCACUUGAAAAUUCACAAUUUAUCAAGCUUUUAAGUGUUGAUUUAUAAAUAUUUAGAGAUAAUUCUAAAAAGAAUGCCAACUGUCAAUGCCCUUUCAUCACUGUAUAGUUUUUGAAAUUUUCUAAAUGUAAAACCAAAGGACUAUUUUAUAACGUGAAAUACAUAUUUAUCAUUAAAUUAAGACAUGAUUUGUUUGAGAGCAUCAUGAUGGAUUUUCACAAAAUACAUCUUCUGAAUUGACUCAACUCACAAAUUAUAACAACACUUGUUUUUCUAAUGUAGAUUCUCCAUGUGUUGAGAUUCAUAUAGUAAAUUUUAUUUUCUUUUAAAACUGAGGGCUAGUCAUUCAUUCACCUAGAAAUACCAUAAUUAGGUUUUUUCUUCUGAGCCCAGAUAUUCAUAUCAUCUAUGAAAAUGAUAAUUUUCCUUUGAGAAAGACUGAUUCUCAAAUUAUGCUCAUAGUAUUCAGAGAAAAUAUGUAUAUAAAAUGUGUUGUAGUUAUCUUACUGUCUUUCAACAUAUUAUCUAAUAACUCACUGACUGAACUUUAAACCACAAGCAACAAGACUAUUUGGAUUAAACAACUCUCCAUUUUAAAGGAAGUCUUGCUCAAAACAUAAAAGUAAAUUGUCAAAUAGCUUCUCCUUUCAACCAUCCUUUCCUAUGCUUUAACUCUUUGAACUUCCUGACACUGUUGGAUAUGGUCAUUAUCAAAUAAUGCACUUAUAAUAAAAUUUUUAUUACAAAAUAUAAGUGAUAACAAUGCCCUUUAAGAAACUGUAUUUUUUAAGGACUAGCCAGCAUUCAAUUUAUUUCUGGUAUGUUUAUAGAUAGCAUAGCAAACCAAUAUUCUGCAACACAUUUUCUUUGUCCCAUGUAGCUUAAAAUAGACAAAAUUAAUAAUAAUAAAAUAAAGCUCAGACCAACAGAGUGACAAUUUUUAAUCUAGAUGAGCUUGAUGAAAGGGUGGAAAAUGCACUUAAAAAUAAACUUUAUAUCAAUAAAAGCCCUGACAGAAUUUUAAAUUCAAGUACUUUGCACUAAAUUAGAGUACAGGGCAGCCUGGCUGGCCCAGUUGGUAGAGAAUGUGGCUCUUGAUCUCAGGGUUAUAAGUUUGAGACCAAGUUGGGUGUAGACAAAAUAAAAAUAAAUUGUUAAUAAAUAAAUAAAUACUUUCAAAAACCAGAGUGUGCAAAUGACUAAUUUCUUACAGUGAGCAGACAUACAUCAUACGUUUUCAAGCUAGUAUCUGUCCUUACAAUGACAAAUAGAUAUUCCCAGUAGUCUUUUUUUUCCCCCAGUAGUCUUAUUCAGAAAGAAGCAGGGCCAAAAUAUUUGUUCUUUCUCAUCUAGAUUCAGCAGACACCACAUAUUGUUGAGAGCCUUUUCUAAUAAUGCUACCUUUAAUAUGAAAAAGGCUGUUUUGAGGUUUGACUAAUUGCCUGAUGUAAAAAGUUGCUGUCGAUUUAAAAUAGUUUCACUAAAUAUUAUAAUUUGCUCUCCACUGCAUAGUGGAUUUGAAUAUAUAUCUUAAUAUUCAUAUAUAUUUUAGUAAUUGUUAAUCUUUUCUAUCUGCUAGAUCACCUUGACUGUAUUAAGUAUCUCUAUUCCAGGAGAUUUAUAGUAACACCAGAGACAUACAUUGUGAGCCUAAGCAUAAAGGAAUCUUAAAUCAGUUUUGUAGUUCAUGAUGUUGUCCAAAACAAAUGUUAUUAACACUUCCCUAAUUAGUCCUAUUUUAACAAAUCCUCUAACUGUCCUCACCUCACCUCUAACCUGUCCUCACCUUGGAGUAAAUCCAGAACACUGCAUUUUGUUACAUGUCUGGUGACAAUGUCUUUGGUAAAUGGCAAGAUGAAGGGUUUGGAGAUUCACCCAGAAGUUGAUGAAACAAGAAAUGAAGAGAACAAGUUAGGAAGUGAAAGGCCAAUCUAGAGAACAGAAAAAAAGAGAAGAUUCAGAAAAAUUUUCAUUUACAGGAUAAAUACAUAUAUGACUGUAGAAUGUAAUUAACUUAGUAAUUAUUGCUCACUGAGUAAAAGGAGUGAGAGAUGGGAUUUGAAAGUAAAAUAAAUUAGAUCUAAAAACCAGGAGUGAAAAAGGUAGGAAAAGAGAGAGGAUAAAAGAGAGGCAAUAAAAGAAGAUAAAUUGGUCCAUUAAGAUACAUUUUAUUUGCCAGAAAGUUUAGGAAAUAAAAAAUCCAGCACUGAACUGCACAAAUUAACAUGUGGAGACACUUUGGAUACAAGGCCAUGGAGGAAAAGUUAGUAUGCAAAUGCCUUUCAGCUGCUUGGUCUAACAGUUCAGAUAAGAAAACUUUAUCUGCCCUUUUGUUUGGGAAAUUGGAUUGAGGGUUAAGCCUAGAAGUUAUUCCUUCUGAUAAGAGGUGAGGAGUGUUCAUGAGAAGUUGUAAGAAGCAAACACCACCUCCUGGAUGAUAAUUGUGUUCUAAAGCUUGGACCCAACUGCUCAAGACAAUGACUGUACUUUAAGGGUACAUAGAGUCUGACCUACUGGCAAGUCUUAGUCUGUCUAGGACACCUUCUCAAAAGGCAGCCCAGAAGUUGGGCUGUAUCCAUCAUACCACAUUUAAAGCAGCAGAACUGUUUGGUAAAAUAUAACCUUGGCUCAUUCUAAACCUUCCAAAUCAGGCUGAGAUGGCUCAGCCUAUAGAGAGAAGAGAUGCUUACAUGAUCCCUGUGUGUCCUAAAAACAGUUUUCUCUUUAGUGAACUCCGGAUAUGAUGAGAAUUAAGGUAUAAAAACACAAUUAAGUUCAAAUUUAUAAUAACAAAAUAAAAGCAUGAACAUGACCCAUGUUUUAAAUCAAGUAAUCCUCUUUCUGAAUGAAAUAACAAGCAUUAAUUCACAUGAAUUACACAUAAAUAACAAGACACAUAUAUUACCUUCUCUUUUAAUUUUGGCUUUCCUAAUUAUUAGUUUUGUGAUUUAGGUGUAUAUUUUCCCUGUCUGAACCAUCUUAACUUAAAAGUCUUGAGAACCAGGUAAUAAUCCAAAAUACAACUUUACUGACCCUUUCCUCUUUCAUUGGACUCGGGGAUAAAUACACAUGCACACACAUAUAUACAUUAAUUCAAGAGAUGCUCAUCAUUGGUGUUCCUUAUUUUCCUCCAUAUCUGGAAAGUAACCUAAAAUCAAAUAGAAUUCAUAUGCCUAAAUCAUAUUUGUAAAAGUAUGUGUUUAAAUUGUGCACUGACUAUGAUUUAACUGUGAAAUAUUCCAAGGGGGUCUAAUCUUAACAAUAUCUUGCCAAAAGGAAGUAAACUUUCAAAUUGGAUUAGUACUGGGGUGCCUGGGUGGCUCAGUAGCUUAAGCGACCAACUCUUGAUUUGGCUCAGGUCAUGAUCUCACAAUUCGUGAGUUUGAGCCCUACAUAGGCCACUGAGCUGAUGAUGUAGAGCCUGCUUGGGAUUCUCUCUCUCUCUCUCUCUCUCCCUCUCUCUCUGCCCCUACCCUGCUUGUUCUCUCUCUCUCUCUCUCUGUCUCUCUCUCUCUCACAAAAUAAGUAAAAUAAACUUAAAAAAAUUUAAAAAUUGGAUCAGUACUAUGUGAGACAGCUGCUCUCCCACCUAGUGCCUUGACCUAUCCCAAAUAUAUUGCAUUUUGAUAUGCUGAUACAUAAAUCCACAAAAAAUGCAUAAUUACAGAGAAAGAAAUCAUAUUCUUCAUACUAUUCUACAAAAAUGUUUUAUAACUAAAAAAAAUCUUAUACAUAUAGCUGAUUAUGUAUAGCACAAAUAUAUUGUUUAAAUCAAUAAAUUCCUGUAUACCUGGAACCCAGCUUGUCCGUCAUGGUCCUCUCCAUUAGGUCACACUUACAGCCCCAGCAGUAAACCAUUACCCAAAGCUUGUACUAAUCAUUCCUUUGCUUUACUUUAUGGCUUUACCACAUACAUAUGUGUUUCUAAGCAAUGCGUUAUUUUGUUUUACUUUUAUGAAAGUGGAAUCACUCUGAAUAUAGUCUUCAGAGAUUGCUUCUUUCAUUCAGCAUUUUGGAGAUGCAGCCCUAUUAAUGUAUCUAUGUAGCUGUGGUUCUUUCUUUUCACGGUUGCAGUGUUCUACUGUAUGAAUGUACCACAGUGAAUGUCCCUUUUCUCCUGCUGAGACAUUUGGAUUGCUUCCAACCAUUUUACUAUUGUAAACAAUAAAGCAAUGAACGUAUUUUUUACGAAUCUCCUGGUACACAUGUGUCUGAGUUUCUUCAGGGAUUAUAAUUUACAAGUGGGGUUUCAGGAAUUUAGCAAUUCAAAGUGCUUGUACCAAUUUAUACUCUCAUCAACAGUGUACGAAGUUUCCACUGCACCACAUCCUUUCCAACACUUUGUAUUACUGUCAAGCUUUUAAAUGUUUGCCAGUCUGGUGGGAGUAACAUAGUAUCUCAUUGUGGUUUUAAUUUGCAUUGUCCUGAUUAUGAAUCACAGCAAAUUUGUAUGUAAAAAGAAUUAAAAUUUUUCUCAGAAACAUUUGUUUUUAAUUGGGUAGCAGUGACUUGAUGUUGCAGAAUUAUGGUUAAGCCACUUUUGCUUAUAAUUAUUUAAGAGAAGGACUGUCUAUUUUGGGUUGGCUGGUCCAGGGAAAGGAAAAAGUGUUUUAUAACUUUUAAAACUGGGAAUGUAUGAAUAACAUUUUUCACCAUGAACAAGAACACAGACUGAUAAUGUGCAGAAUUAUAUCUAAAUCCCCAUUUCCUUUAUUCAAAAACCCCCAUCAAAAUAUAUAUCAAAAUCUCUUUUAAAAAUAGAGGAAGAAAAUGAGUAAUUCCAUUCAGGUGCAUGUGCACUUUUUCUUUAGUAGACUUUAUUUUUUUAAAAGCAGUUUUAGGUUCACAACAAAACUUAAUGGAAGGAACAAAGAUUACCCACACCCCCUGCCCCCACUCAUGCACACCCUCCCUAUCAACAUGCUGCACCAUAGUAUACUUGUUACAGUUGAUGAACCUACAGUCUACACUUCAUGAUCACCCCAAAUCCAUACUUUACAUUAGGGUUCACUCUUGGUGUUUAACAUUCCACGACUUUGGACAAAUGUAUAAUGACAUGUGCUGUAUGCUUUUUAUAAUAUUUUGAAUAGUUAAAAUCAUUUAUGGAGCUACAAUAUCUUGAAAGAAUUAGUGUCUCUCUCUCUACUGCGGUAAAAUUAUUUUUUACACAUAAAAACAUUAUAGAAGGCAUUGGAAUUUUUGUCUUUCACGUAAUCCUUCAUUUUGGAGAUGAUUAACCUUAUGCCCAUCAGCUGAAUUUAACCAAUAUAUUUCUCCCCUGUUCUAAUUUCCUCUUACUAAACAUACUUAGGCUUGCAUUUUUUUAGCUCAAUUGUUGUGUUUCAUCAUGACAUUAUAUAAAGAGGGUUUAUCUAUUAGCCUUAUUUGCUAUAUUUCUUUUCUGUGUUUUCAGGGUUUAGUUGAUUUUGAUUUCAUUUUCUUCCUUUUUAAAAAAAAAUUAUGUUUAUUUAUUCUCGAGAGAUAGAGGGAGAGAGACAGAGCCUGAGUGGGGGAGGGGCACAGAAAGAGGGAGACACAACAUCCGAAGCAGGCUCCAGGCUCUGAGCUGUCAGCAUGGAGCCUGACGUGGGGCUCGAACCCAUGAACCCAACUGUGAGAUUGUGACCCAAGCUGAAGUCGGACACUCAACCAACUGAGCCACUCAAGUGCCCUCUUUGUAUCUUUUCUUCUUGGAUAUUAAUUACUCUUUGGUACUACAGAUAUGGAUAUUAUUCAGAGGAAAGUGGAAGUAAGACUAUGCUGACAUUUAUUAUUAAUAAGUACAAUACAUUUACUAAUCAAAAUUACCACAUCAAUAAAUUUUCUGAUAGCCAGAAGUGACUACUGACAUAUUUGUUCUUUCACUCACCCCAAAUCACCAAAAGGUGAAAAGAUUCUUUCAUAGCAUUUUCAGCUGGAAUGAAAAAUAAAAUUUUUAGAACCAUGCAGAAAAAAAAAACAGUAGUCCUUUCUAUUUCAUGUGCUACUUUAUAGCAAGUUGGGAAAAUUCUCAAAGUAAACUUCAACUUUGAACCUUCUGAAUUCCAUAGAUAUGCCAGUAAAGCCUGAGACUGACAAGAGUUUUUAUUUUUUCCAAAACAGCUUGUAGAAAAUCCAGAUUCUAAAAAUGUGCAAUGUUUGUUGGUGUAAAAAUACACAUCUCCUUAAUCAGACCAGAUCAUGAUCCUAAUUGGAACAUAUACUACACACCUUAUAAUAAUAUAUAAUAAAUUAUUAAAAUAUGUGAAGAUGUAAACAUUUACAAAGUAAUACAAAAAUGUUUUUUGAGUCAUGAAAGAUUUGAUUACAGAGAUUGCUUUUAACAUAGCUUUCUUAGUACUUUUGACUUUUCAUGUAAAAAUCCCUAUGACUUCAUAGAAAUCCUUGGCAAAAAUUCAAAGAUUAUCAUUAGAAGUAGCAACAAAUAGGGAUGUCUGGGUGGCUCAGUUGGUUGAGCAUCUGACUCUUGAUUUCAGCUCAGGUCAUGAUCCCAGAAUCCUGCAUUGGAACCCCAUGUAGGGCUCCACGCUGAGCAUGGAGCCUGCUUGAGAUUUUCUCUCUCUCCCUUUCUCCCUUUCUCUCUCUGCCUCUCCCCGCCGCUGCCCCUCUCCCCCACUCAUGUGCUUCCUCUCUCUCUCUCUAAACUAAAAAAAAUUAAAAAAUUUUUAAAAAGUAGCAACACAUUGAUGAUCCAUAAACAUAAGUUCAGUCAAAGUCCCUCAAAUCACAAUAUGAACCAUUGGAGGUACAUAAUUUGCAAACACAAAUUUGACAUCUUUGAAGUUCUAUUAAGUCUAAAUACCAUGCAAAUGCAAAGCAGGAUAAACUCGAUUAUAGCUAUAUCUUGCCUUCAACAUUAGUUUGAGUUUGGAAAGAUGCAUGUAAACUCCAUUCAUAUACAUUCUUUGUUUAGCAGUGGAUGAAUCUUACUUGUUGGUAAUGUCCUAUGUUUAAAGAAAGUUAAAUGUUGUACUGUCAUGAUCUAGCCUCUGCCUCCCUCUUUGACAAAGUCUAUGACACUCUUUGCCCCUCAUUCAUUCCACUUCAAUCACAUGGACCUACUUUCUAUACUUUGAAACAGCUAUGUCAUUCUGUCCUCAGAACCACUCAUUGAGUCAUCCUGUCUUCUGGGAACAACCUUUCUCCUGAACAUUCCAGAGCAUCCACCUCUUCAUACUGCUACGAUCUUGAACAACAGGGGCCAUCCUCCAUGUUUGUGCCUCUUAGAAUCUCCAUUCUUAAAAAAUAAGGUGCCAGGAACAAAGUUCUUGAUUACUUCUUGGUUAACAUGGUGGCAACCUGGCAGCCUAAAUGUGCCUGAUACAUCUCCUCCCAACUUCCCAUUAAAAUUCAACAUUUGAAAUACAAGGUUUACGAUUUUAACAAAAGAACCACACUAGUAUAUAACUUUAAGUUAAAAUCUCUAAAAUCCCAUUAUUCACUAAUAAUAUUAACAAAUUCACAGGAAUGUUCUCUUGUCAUCCAGGGUUCUACGAUGACACAUCAACCACUUGUGAUGCCACCUGUCAAAUCUUUGGAUGGCCCUACCUUCAGGUAUUGCAUACACUCCAAAAGAACAUUCGGGCCCUAAUGAAAGUAACACGUUGGAUUUCCAGUGGAGUUGAGAAUAAUAUGAACAUGUUAAUAAUAGUAAGAAAUAUUUCACAGAAUGAUUCUUAAUGUCAAAUAACUUCUGAAUAAAAGAAAACUUUGAAAGGUAGUCUAACAAAAUACUGGUAAGGAUAGACUUAUGGACAUCUGUCAAACUUAUAAAGUCAUUUCCUCAGGAUCAUCAGGUAUGGAUUUAGCCCUGAAGUUCUUAUUUCCUUGACCAGAGAACUAGGGAUGUUAAAUUAAUUUGAAUGGGUCCAGCAGAUAUAGUAAUAUUAAUGAUCUGGUAGUAUUUGCCACAAACAUCACACACAAAGACACACAUACACACACACAUAAUGUCUGCAGCUAAGCUUUUAAUAUUAUAACUAUAUAUAUAUAUAUAUAUAUAUAUAUACAUGUUUCUAUAUAUACAUACAUAGAAAACAAGUUAUGUUUAACGUUAUAAAAUUAUAGAGCUAGGUUGUUCAUUUGAACUAACUUUGGCCUGUAAAGGUCGUUCUUUUGUGAUUCACAUAGUCACUGUUAGAUUCCUAGAAAUGAUUGUAAAACUUUCCUGUAAUUGGAACAUAAGAAGAUAUCAUUUAUAAAUAAGGGAACAGGAAAAUGGGGGAGUGGCGUAAGCUGUUUUAAAGAUUUAAGUUGUUCUAGAGACUAUUUUUUUGAACUCCCUGGUCAAAUAGUUUCCAUUUCAAUCCUGGGCAUUAAUUACAAGUUUCAGGGGGCAUUGGUGCUUCCAGAAAGAUUACUGGUGUAGACGGAUUUGUCUUCUUAUUUAUAUUUAGCAUUAUAGUUCCAUGUCAGAUAACAUGGAACUGUUAUUAUGCAAUUAUUAUUACACCUCACAACCCUCUUCCUGACAAAAUUAAAGUGGUUUUCCUGUCCUAACUUAUUUUUAGACUGCAAAGUAUUUAACAAUUAAUCAUGUUUCAUCCUGAUAAACUAUAAGAACAUUAAUGAAAAAGGCUUCUAAAUAAUUUUAUCUUGAAUUCAAAGCUAAGUGACAUAAUUCCUUCUUCUGAUUUUUAAAUUCCGAAGUAAUUCUGCUGGACCCAAAAAUAGACUCUCUAUAAUUAUUCUUUUUCCCACAGCAUGUCUUUGGGAACUCAUCAUUGUUGUUCUGUCCUUUUAUGUGUCAGCUUCCUCUGCACAUUACAUUUUAUAUGACUCACUGUUCCUUAAAACAAGGCUUGAAUGCUCAAAAUGCCUACUUAUAUCUGACAGCUGGAUUUUUCCCCCUGAACUUUUUUAUGUGAAGUGGAGCCAGAUCAAUUUUUAUAAGCCCCAAUUAUGAAGACAUAUAGGAAAGAGCACAAAAUGGAAGAAAAUUCACUUAACUAGGCAAAAGCUGAUCUUGACCUCUACCAUCUGUGUGUACUAGUCAUCUUCUUGUGAAAAUUAAAAGUAUUACACAAUAUUUUUCUGUCUUUCCAACUUACAAAUUUUAACAUGUAUUGGAUAGUGUGAAGGAGAUAGAUUGGAAGUGGCUUGAAAAUGAAAGGUACAAAUAUAAACUGUUUUCUGUUCAUUAGAUUGAUCUCUGACUUGCAGAGUAUUGGUAAGAUUCUUUGUGAGCAGUCAAUUGCCUCUUUUGUAGUUUUUAAAAUUUUAUUUCCAACAAGUACAGUUCAAGGUGGAUGUGUGUUUAAAUUCCUGCACGAAAGAGGCUGAAUAAUUGUCUCUGGGGAGAUUAAAAAAUAUAACAGAGAAUCAGAAUUGCGGUUUGCCAUCAUAUUAGUUUGACUCAUAUAUGACUUAAUUUUAACCUCUUGAAAGCAGCACAGAAGUGAGACUUUGAAAAUUCUUGGUCUUAGAUCAUCUACCAUGGUUGUGGGAUACGAGGCAAAAAGUCUCCUAAACUCCUACCUUCCAAAUCUGUAAAAUGAACAGGUUACACUAUAAAACUUCUCAGGUCCAUUCAGCUCUGAGAUUCUGGAACCUCUGACCCUAAUUAUUCUGAAUUAAAGAUAGGAACUGGAGAUAGAAUACUAUCUGAGGUUAUUGGUAACAAAUAAAGUGAUUUGUAAUAGCUCAUUUCUAACUUUGAAUAUUUUUGCCCUGCUUUAUUUAGAUAAUCAUUGAUUAUACUCUGAAAUAUGACAGAUGGUUAAGAGGUGGGAAAGAGAAAGAAAUAAGGAGAAUAUCUCUGGCUAGAUUGAAUUCAGGAAAUAGAAGGAUCUGUUUCCGGUUAUCAUUAAAAUUUAAUAAUCUUCCUAAAAAUUCUUUAUGCCUCCAACAUAGCAACAAUAUUAACUUUUAAAUUUCUAAUACUUUAAUAGUCCACUUUCACAUUGAAAUCUUAAUCCAACUGGCACUGAAUCUCAGAUACAAUUUUUUCCUCCAAAUUGAUGGACAGUUGUACCAACACUUUGUAUUAAAUAGUUAAUCUUUUCUAUUACUGAUUUCAAACUUUACUACAUUGUUAUAUUUACUAAAUUCUACUAAAAUUAUUUUGGAUUCAAAGGUCCACUUGUCUUGUUACUUGUUCAGUUAAACUUCAGAAUUAUUCAUUACCUUGAUUGUAUAUUCAUUACCUUGAUUUAUAGAUUAUUUGGGAAACAAUUAAACAUCUUCAUACAUUUUAGUUUUGCAUCUAUUAAAACAAACGUCUAUUUAGGGUGCCAGGGUGUCUCAGUCGGUUAAGUGUCUGACCUGCUCAGGUCGUGAUCUCACAGUCCGUGAGUUGGAGUCUGGCAUCGGGCUCUGUGCUGACAGCUCAGAGCCUGGAGCCUGCUUCAGAUUCUGUGUCUCCCUCUCUCUCUGCCCCUCCCCCUCUUGCACUCUCUCUCUCAAAAAUAAAUAAAUAAACAAUAAAAAAAUUGAAAAAAUUAUAAUAAACAUUUUAAAAAAUUAAGAAAAUCUUAUUUUUCAGCAAAUAGUUCAGAGAAUCAGUAGUGAGUCAGUUUGAUUAGAACAGUAGGAAGUAAAUUAAGGUAAAUCUGAAACUCAACGUUUGUAAACUGUAUUAAAAUACUCCAGAAAAAUUAUAUCUUCAGUCUUUAGAACUAUGCUCAAUAGAUCAACUCCAUCCAUGACUGUCUUACCAUCCUUUGUAAGUUUUAUUGCACAGUAUCCUGUUGCUCAGAACCAAAUAUAGAUAAACCAAAUAUAGAUAAUUUUUCUAAGAGAUAUGAUUAAGGAUCUAUUAUAAAAAUAGGUAUUAAGACAUACAAAAUAUAUUUUUAAAUGUAAUUUUUUAAAGAAUCAAAAGAUGUAAUUUCUAAUAGACAGUAUGUUCCCCAAAAUACCUGUUCUCAUCUUGCUAUGUAAUUACGGAGCCAUGUUUCCAAGAAAAAUGAUUCAAAUAAAAAUUACGAAUUCAACAAAAUGAAUUAAAUUUUUUAAUUUUUUUUUAAUUUUUUUUCAAUGUUUAUUUAUUUUGGGACAGAGAGAGACAGAGCACGAACGGGGGAGGGGCAGAGAGAGAGGGAGACACAGAAUCGGAAACAGGCUCCAGGCUCCGAGCCAUCAGCCCAGAGCCUGACGCGGGGCUCGAACUCACGGACCGCGAGAUCGUGACCUGGCUGAAGUCGGACGCUUAACCGACUGCGCCACCCAGGCGCCGCCCCAAUUUUUUUUUUUUUUUUUUUUUUGAGAGACAUAGACAGAGUGUGUGUGGGGGAGGGAGAGAGAGAGAGAGGAAGACACAGAAUCUGAAAAAGGCUCCAGGCUCUGAGCUGUCAGCAGAGUCCAAGUUGGGGCAUGAACCCAUGAACUGUGAGAUCGUGACCUGAGCCGUAGUCAGACACUUAAUGACUGAGCCGCUCAGGUGCCCCUCAACAAAAUGAAUUCAGCCCAGCUGAUGAGGAACCUUUGCUAUAUAUAUACUUGUCAUUUAUGUUAUCACAUGCAAAAUUGAGAAUGAAUCUAACACCCAUCUCAAAAUUCAGUGUUCUUAUGGAUCAAGUGCCUUGGUGUCCUUUAUGAAUAUGCUUUUCUGAAAACUCCUUGAUAAUUCACUUUUAACCAGACUGUCUUUUAGUGCCUAAAGUUGUUCUAUUUUGUAUUGGUCCCUGAAAUAGCCCUUUGAUCUCCAUAAAAAAUUGUGUUCAUAUAAAUUGCUUUAGAACAUAGUAAACUUCACUGCAGAUUUUCAUAAUGAAAAAUUCUAUUUUGUAUUGGUCCCUGAAAUAGCCCUUUGAUCUCCAUAAAAAAUUGUGUUCAUAUAAAUUGCUUUAGAACAUAGUAAACUUCACUGCAGAUUUUCAUAAUGAAAAAUUCAGGAGAGGUUGCUAUGCUAGCAAUGAAAACUUCAAAUAACUUCAAAUCAAAUGGUAGACAUCACCAUUUUUAAAAUGUCACUUGUCCUCUCAAUAUCAUAUCUACUUCCUGCCUCUCUCCAUCUUUUUGGAUCCACUCUGCCUUUAUUCCUUCUGUUCAUCACUCGUUUGCCUGAUUCCUUUCCAGGAGGUACAAUACUACAUUUUCUUUUUUUUUAUUUUUUUUUAAUGUUUAUUUAUUUUUGAGAGAGAUAGAGACAGAACACGGGUGCGGGAGGGGUACAGAGAGAGGGAGACACAGAAUCCGAAGCAGGCUCCAGGCUCUGAGCUGUCAGCACACAGCCCGAUGCGGGGCUUGAACUCAUGAGCUGUGAAAUCAUGACCUGACCCGAAGUCAGACGCUCAACCAACUGAGCCACCCAGGCACCCCAUCAACACUACAUUUUCUAAUCCUGAUUGGUGAAAAGGAGAUUUCUUCUUAUUUGAGCACCUGCUAACAUUCAUAGCCAUGUGCCUGCUCUACUCCAACUGUUAUUUUUACUAUUAUUUAUUUAUUAAGAUUUUAUUUAUUUUUUAAAGAAUCUCUACACCCAUUAUGGGGCUCAAACUCACAACCCUGAGAUUAAGAGUUGCAUGCUCCACUGACUGAGACAGCCAGGCACUGCAGUGUCAUUUUUUUUUUUUAUUUUUUUUUUCAACGUUUAUUUAUUUUUGGGACAGAGAGAGACAGAGCAUGAACGGGGGAGGGGCAGAGAGAGAGGGAGACACAGAAUCGGAAACAGGCUCCAGGCUCUGAGCCAUCAGCCCAGAGCCCGACGCGGGGCUCGAACUCACAGACUGCGAGAUCGUGACCUGGCUGAAGUCGGACGCUUAACCGACUGCGCCACCCAGGCGCCCCCGCAGUGUCAUUUUUAAUGUAUUUUAUAUAUUAAAAAAAAACAACAACACAGUUAUUUUCCUAAGAGGAUUUCUGAUGACAGUGCUAGAAUAAUCAUUAUUUAAUAUGUUAUGAUAAUUUUCAUACUUACUAAUAUUUAAUUUAAUAGAUAAAAAAUAAGUUGUUGAAAUGUAUAGGAAUCAUUCUAUAUGCAGUAUAAAUACUAUAAAUUUUAAAAAAUUCAUUUCCUUAUCAUUUGUUCCUUUUCACGUUUGCUUUACAUUAAAUUACAGUUUAAGUCUUAAUCAUUUUUCUUUUUUUUUUAAUUUUUUUUUAACGUUUAUUUAUUUUUGAGACACAGAGAGAGACAGAGCAUGAACGGGGGAGGGGCAGAGAGAGAGGGAGACACAGAAUCAGAAGCAGGCUCCAGGCUCUGAGCCAUCAGCCCAGAGCCCAACGCGGGGCUCGAACUCACAGACCGCGAGAUCGUGACCUGAGCCGAAGUCGGACGCUUAACCGACUGGGCCACCCAGGUGCCCCGAGUCUUAAUCAUUUUUCUGACCACAGUACCCAGCAUAAUGGUUCUCAAACACAAUAUAGUUUUAUUUAUGGUAGAAUUGCAUUUCAUCAUUUAAUAUGUCUUACAUAUUAGACAUAUUACUUUAGACUAGUGAUCUACAAACUGGGGUAUGGAUACCCCUAAGGGGUAGGCAGAAAUAGCUUGUUUUACAGAAAUCAAUUCUAGAUCUUUAACCUUCAUUUGAACCCCAUCCUAACUCUUGUCAUUACAAAAUUCCGAACGUCCAAGCUUUAGGCCAGUUCUUCAUUUUUACCUCUCCUUUCUUAUAGUCUUACUUCUUUACACACACAUGCAUUCUUUCACCUGUCUGAGUCUUACUACAAAGCAUUUCUGCAAAGUGUAACAAUCCCACAAAUGAGGAUAGGCACAAUGCAGACAUUGGUUUUGCCAAGCCUCCUUCAAAAUGAACUCCCCCCUCUCUUCAUCUCGUUAAUUGAUGUAUUUAUAAUAAAGUUUUACUUUUUUUGUUUAAAAAUCAUGUAUCAAAAUUUAUAAUACAUUUACUAUGAUUUGAUCUAGAGUAUCAACUCUAGAGCCAAACUACCUGGUUCAAAUCCUGAGUCAACCACUUUUUAAUCACUUGGUAAAAUUAAUAAACCUACUUGUACCUCAGUUUCCUCACAGGUAAACCUAAGAAAAACAUAGUACCUACUAUACAUGUUUUUAAUAAUGUGAUCAUAAAGUCUGAAAACCUAAAUAUUACUUUUUUAACUAUUAUAAUAUAAAUGAGAAAAUAAUUUAUUAUGUAUAAUUUAUGUAUCCAGACUUAGUGGUUUCUCUGUAUAUAAAUUUAUAGAUACAAGUAGAGAUAGAGGUAUUUAGUACUUGGAAUUUAGUAAACCUUUAAAAAGUGUUAGUUACUAUAAUAUCUACAUCGUCAUUAUUUCUAAAAAAAAAAUUGUAAUGGUAAUGCAAUCAAGUAGGAUUUUUAAAAACAUUCAUUGACAGUCAUUUGGACAGGAAUUUUAGUUUUUAUUUUAGAGAGAAAGAGUGUGGAGGUGGGGGAGAGGGGCAGAGGGAGAGGGAGAGAGAAUCUUAAGCAGCUGUCCCCACCCAAUGUAGGGCUUGAUCUCAUGACCCUGGGAUCAGAACUUGAGCCAAAAUCAAGUCAGUUGUUCAACACACUGAGACACCCAGGUGCCCCAGGAAAUUUCACCAAGGUAUAUAUUUUGUUGCAAAGAAGAUUUUGAGCAGGGAAGACUUUGUUGAAAAUGUUCCUAUGAAAAGAUUAGGAGAGGUUUGCAUAGUAGCCAUGCAAACACGUCAAAGGAAAAGGAAAAACACCAUGGUUCUAAAAAUGUCACCUGCUCACUCAAUGAUCAGUUUUCUCUCUCUUUCUGGCUUAAUUACAACAAGAUUAACUGAAUCUGGGAUAAUGUGACUAGAUACUAUAGAUCACACAGAAAUGAGCUGUUGGUGCUGCUAGUAAGCAAAUAAAUAUAAGGCUCUGUAAGCAAUGCAUUGAAACAUACCAAAAAGGUUUCUCUUUUGUUGUUAAGGACAAUAAAUUAUAAGGAGGUUAAGAAAGUUCCUUUACAACUGGGGCUUAUAAUUCUCUGUGUAAUAAUUUAUAUUUGCAAUUUAUGAUCAUUAACAAAUAGCUUACUUUUAUUAUUUUUGAUAAUGAUACAUUUGCAAAAACAUAAGAGGGUGCCAUUAGAUGCAGGAAAACUCCAUAAUCUUUUACCAAGAUGCAUUGACUCAGCAAUCAGUUGAACAGAGAGUCCUAUAUUGAAGGAAUUUUUAUGAUAUUCGAAUCUUGUUCAGUGGGAUAGUCCCAUACUUAUGAUUAAGAAUCAGGCCCUUCAGGCCAAAUCGCAACCAGAGUCCAUCAGACUUCAGAUGAAUUCUAAUAGUGGAUGGGGUGUGGAUUUCCCCUAUGUAGGAAAACCCCAUGUUAAAAAAAAGAAAGCAUCUCCCUACCCUGCCAACCAAAAACCUUGUUUGUUUCACUAAGCUAUUUUAUUAUUGUUUCAUUUGUCUUCCAUCCUAUCUCCCAGGCCUUUCUUAAACUUCCUUUCAAAGCAAAUUAGUUAUCUUUUUAUGGAAUAUAUCAAUUUUGACAAAAUCUUUUCCUCUUCCUGAAAUGUGCAAACCCUAGCUUGAAUGUGACAAAGUAAAAUUAUUAAUCAGAUUAGGCCACUUCAUUUAUACCUAUCAAGGUUAUAAAUGAGCUAGCUCUUAGCCAGUGCUUCCUAAACUGUCCAUAUUUAUAUAUUUCUGAGGUUAUCUCAUUUUCUGUUUAUGUUACUCCAUCAGUCACAGUAUACUUAUAAAUGCCAGAUGGGCAAGUCCUCCACAUUUUGUGGCUUGUUCCAUUAAUGUAUAAGUCCUGCUAAUGUUAUAUUUAAUGAUACAUCUUUAUAUGUUUGCUAACUAUUUAAAAAAUGAAAAACAUUUACAUGUAUCGCUUCCUGUAAAUUUCUACCUAAAGUAGUGGGAAAAUGCCUAGGACCUAGGAAUUAAAAAAGGAUGUGGCAUAUGAGGAAAGUACAGUUAUUUAUUGUAUUUUACAGGAAAUUCCUGCUGUGGCUAAAAGUUCUUUGCUCUCUCAAACUGCUGUAGAUAUAAGACAAAGGGAAACCAACACAAAUCAUUGUACCUUUUAAUAUGCUGAAUCUAAAGUUUGCCUGCCAUGAGAAACAGACUGUUAGAAACAGGCUCUGGAUUUAAAGGAAACUAAAGCUGUGAUUCAUAAGCCUGGCAAAUAGACCUGGCGACAAUUAGUUAACUCCAACCAGCCUUUAGACCCAUUUUUAUUGUUUUAAACUGUUUUACAUGACACCAAAACCUCCAGAAGAAAAUUCAACAUUUCUGUCAAAUGUUUUGUCUACAUGACCUGAAAGAGUAACAGAAAUUUAAGUAACCAAUAACUAUCAAUUCCAAUUAUAAAAAAUUACCUCAUUGGUCAGCUCCACAUUUUAAAAACCAAUUUGGCUAUUGCUAAAUGAGGCUUUCAGCAGGAGAGUCCCUCCUGAUAAGAAAAAAAAAAUGCUGUGCUGAAUUUAUUAUUUUUUUAUUAUCACACAAAUAGAGUAAAGUUGUUUUUCACAUUCACUAUAUAAUUGGUAACAAAUUCCAACUUCAAAUCAUUUGGGGAUUCCACUUUAUAGAGUGUGCUAAUCUUAGUUACUUAUUUCCAGGAGAAGUUUAUUAGUCCUUAUUUACUCUCCAUUUUUCCCAACCUCUUUGGCCAUGCAAUAAAUGAUCCAGAAAACAGUGCCCUGACACAGGCUGCCACACCACUGGGAGCACUAAUACACAUAUACACAUAAAAUCACAAUAUACUUUAGAAUUAAUUUUCCCAUCAUAAGCAUCAAUUUUCUGAAUCAUAGCAGACUUUAUAAUUUAUGAUUAUUGCCAGGUCAUAAAAAUAGUCCUCAACAUGAAGCACCUGGGUGGCUCAGUCAGUUAAACAUCCAACUCUUGAUUUCGGCUCAGGUCGUGAGAUCCAGCCCUAACAGGCUCCGCGCUAACAGGGGACACUCUUUCUCUUUCUUUCUCUCAAAAUAAAUAAAUAAACACUUAAAAAAUAUUUCUCAACAUUAUCCUAUUAAGUCUUGUGUUUUCUUUGCAAAGGAGAAAUAAUAUUGAAUUCUUCUAUGACAUCUCAGAUGCUACAUGACAUUUGAUAGAAUAUCUGGUGGAAAAUUAUAUACAAAUAACCAACUGAGCCACCCAGGAACCCCUCACAAGAUAUAUUAAAUUAAAAUCAUAGACUAUCUUUUGGGUUUACAUUUUGUAAUGCCUGGUUUGGAAAGGUCUAUAUAUCUGUAGCCAGAGAAAAUUCUUCUAUUACAUUUUUUUAUUAUUGUCUAUUCCUGUCUUUGAAGAUCAAAUUUAUCUUUGCAAAAUUUUAUUAGUGAAUCAAGGAAUAUCCACGUUUUCUCUGAUAAGUCCUAUCUAUCAUAAUGUGAAUUGUAAUUUCUAUUCUUUCUAUAACUUGGAAGUCUUUGGUGCCAUUUCUGGCCAUAGAGCUUUAAAAUGCCCUAUUUUCACUACUCUAAUAUAUUAGCUUUAUUGUUCUAUAGGACCAGAAGUAUCCUUACAAUUUUUUGAUACAACCCCUACAUUUUUUAAAUGAAAAACAGAGAAGCAGGCAAAUAAAAAGAUUGGUUAAAAGAAAGAAAAUAGUAAUCUGGUGUCACAACCAAAAUAAGGACCUAUUUCUCUUCAAUAUACUUAUAUUGACUAUUCUAUACGAUGACUACAAACCACCUAAUCAUGCCGUUUAGAAGUUAUCUAUAAGCAACACUCCAUUUUUCACAAAACUUAAUUUUUCUCCAUCUUCUUCUGGAUGGUCUCUAUAUUGUCAACAUGACACUAAGCAUUCUCUGAUAUUUAUUCUAGGAUAUUGUUAUAUUUGAUAAAUCCAUUUCACGAUGCCCCCAUUCACAUUCUGUUAAAUCUGAACUUUGGGGUUCAUAACCACUCUAGUGUCCAUUGAAUUUGUCAAGUUAUUUUCUAACUGGGGUCACAUAAUGUGCUGAUGUACUGUAAACUUGAGGAUAGUUGUUGCCUCAAGAUCUCUCAUGCAAUUUUAAUGCAAACUCUGUUCAAAUAAGUAGCGCGAUUGAUAUCUCUGUUGAAAAAAAUUUGACCUGUCAAGUUUCUGAAACUGCUCUCCAUAUCCUGACAUGAUGAAAAUGCUACUCAAUUAACACACACAUGUGCGUAGAGACUUUGUGGCCACUGUGUCUUUUCCAGGUUUCUCAAUGGCCAUUUUAUUGUAUUUUUCUCUCUUUAUGUGGCAACAUAUUUAGCACCAGGGCCUUAAGAAACUCAUUAGGCAGUGAGUUUUUAUAUUGAAAAGGGAUUGUGAUAAAAUAUAUUCUUCACAGAAGGUAAAACCAGACUCUUACCAGGGCCAUCAAGCUGACUUCAAACAUCGGUGGAAUGGACGAAAGACUAAGCAGAGAUUCUGUUCAUUAAAUGUAACUCGUUUAAGUCAUUUGGUUUUUAAAUCUGCCUAAACCCAUAAGGAAAUGUAUAUUUUCUAAAAAUGCUAAUUUUUAACUGAAAUCUCAGUAAUAAAGAACACAUGACCAUUUGUGUAUAUAAUUAGUUGCUCACAUUUCAUCUUGAAAAUGCUGUUAGCUCAGUUCCCAGGGUUUUGCAUAUCCAGGAUGAUUUUCCUGAGACAGCAUAGGGUAACAAAUAGGAAUUUGGGUUAGGGGACAUGUUUCUAGUCUGUUCUUUGCCUCUGAGCAGCUGUGCUAAUGUGGUCAAGACAUUUCACUUCCCUGGUCCUGAGUGUCCUCAUCUAUAAAUUAAAGGUUUUUGGACCUAACUGAUCUUGUUUAUAUUGUGAAAUGAUGAUAUUUAAACAAAAACUGCAUAUAAUUGGUUUUCAUCAAAUAACAGCUUUUGUUACUAUUAUGGCUAUUAUUAUUAAUGAAACCAUUAGGUCCUUCUAACUUUAAUUGCUGUGAAUGGCAUUGAGUUAAGUGUUUUGGCUGACAGUGUUCUGUUCUGAAUUGUUUCAACAGUCUGUGUUUCACUAGAAUUGUGUGCAAAAACAUGGGUACUUACUGGGUGUAUAAUUAACGUCAAGAUAAAAUACUGAGCUAAAAGUAUCUUCUAUGAUUAAUUCUCCUAAACUGUCAACUGGUCACACAUGUAUGGCUUAUCCAAAAGAUACUUACUACAUCAUCUUCCAACUCAUGUUACAUACUUUAUUGCUAAUUCUGAAAAAAAAAGGCACUUCCUGGUAUCAGAAAGAUCUCAAAUUGUAUGUGAUUGCUCAUAAAAUUAAUAAUUUCAAGGCAGAAGUUGCACAGUAUUAUUUAAUAUGGUCCAUUUUUUUUCUUGAAGAAUACUCUAAAGCUCUUAAUACAAGCAAAGAAACCAAGUUAAAUGUAAAAGAAUAUUAAGGAUUGUUUAUUUUACUAUCCUAGUAAGAAAAUGCUCCACAAACAUGAUCUUUUAGUGAUGGUUUUGUUGGGUGGGAGGGGCAGAAGUGCUUCAUAUAAGCUUUAAAAUAGUACUAAUAAAUGUCAAUAUAGCCAGUGACUAUUAGGGGGAGUGAAAUAUAUCAGGUUCCAGAGGUAGUUCUGGUUAACAGUGUAUGUUUAAGAGUAAGAGUCUCAGGUUAGAAUCCUUGCUCACUUCAUUAGUGAGAUUACUUUGAGCUUUAAUUUCCUUAUCUGGAAAAAAUAAGACAGAGAAUAUCAUAAUUUGUUACCUUCAGAAUUGAAUAUGAUAGUAUGCUUAUAAUACCUAAGACAGUGUUUAGCAUGCAGUGAACAAUAAAUGGUAGCUAUUACUAUGUAAAUUAUUUUAUAAUCCUGAUUUCAAUAAUUAUAAAUAACAUCAGAUUAAACCUUGGUUUAUAGUAAUUUAUUUCCUACUAUUUAGUUUUGAUAUUUUGGUAAUAGAUUAUUAAAUGCUACCUCAUUGAAUUCUUGACAAUUUCUGCUUUCCUUUUAUUAAUUAGAGGAACCAGGAUGAGAUGCCUGGUCCAAACACCCUUCUUUCACCCACUUCCUACUACCCUCCACUGUUAUCCCUAUGCUUGAAAAUAUACUGAGGAAUGUUGAAUGUUGCUAAAGAAAGAAACAGGAGGUUGUUUUGUUUUGUUUUCUGAGACAUAAUCUAUGAUGAGGAAGACAUAAAGACUCAGAGUAUCACAUGGCACCUAUACUUUAUUGGACAUUUGAAUUGGUUUGGAGAUUCUAAGGACCUGAAGAUGCAGACAACAUUUUCAUGAGAAAAUUAGUAAAACUCUGGAAAGGACUUGUGCUGUCUUAGGGCCCAAGUGGCAAUGGCAGCAGAGGAUAAAGUUAGAGGUCAUUUUCUACCAUUUCUAUAUAGAACACAGAAGGACUAUGGCACCUUGAGAAGUGAAGACUUUGUGAGGAUUAGGUUAUAGUCUUUGUGACAUUAUUGUCAAAUUGAAGUAGUAAGACAUGGCAAGAUGAAGGUCACUGAAAGUGAUUCUAAGGGCAGAGAGAAUAGACAAAGAAAGUCAGAGUGCUAGGGAAAGAAUGGUGUGGGUUGGUCCUAUGAAAGAGACUGGCUUGCAAAGCAUCCCCUUAGGGAUUUCAAGAGACACUUGAGACUUUGCAGGAUGCUGGAGGUCCAGUGUUCUAAGGUGCAGACAAAAUCAGAAAUUUGUGAGUUAUUGAUAACAUGACUUGAUAUCCAGAGGCUUUUGGGGUCCAACAAGUUUUCAGUCACAAGAAUAAGAGUUUAUGUAGUCUUAGUCUCUAUUUAGUCUUAUUUGUAACUAAGAUAUUUCAAUAGUAUGGAACCAAGAGUAGGUUUCAAAGUGUUUGGAUUUAUGGAAAUAAUAAGUGAACUAUGGGAUUAGCUACUUGACUUUAAGUAUCUUGUGGUUUCAUGUGAAUCAUCUGGCAAUAAAUCAAGUGUGUGAUAUUUCCUAAUAAAGUUAUUUUCAGAAAGGAAAAAAUGAGCAUAGCUUCUUCCACAUGGGAGGUCUUGCUACUGCUCUAUAUAACCCUAAGGAUUAAUCUGUUCAUGGCUUAGAUAUUUCUACCUAAGAACACAACAUGUAAAUUCUUGUAAGUCCACAGUCACAAGUCAGCAUUUAGUGGUUCAAGGGAAACUCAAAUGGCUUUGAGACCCUUAACUCAAUUGUUUCUUAAAACCCAUGCAAAGCAUUCAGUAUUUGGUAUAAGUGUACUUAUACUCCUAAACACAUAUUAUUGAUAUACUUAUGUGUAAAUAAUCUAAGAUUACAUAUUAUAAAUGUUACUUCAUUUCUUAUCUGAACACUAGCCUUCCCCCAUACCUCUACUUACUUAUAGCCCUCUCCUGUACAUUUCAAAAUUCUUUUUUCUUUUCCUCAAGAUACCACUCAAAUAUAUACACUCUUGAAAAGUAAAUUCAUAUUGUUCAUUAUUUUCCUGCUGGAAGUACUUGACAAGAAUUCAUAGUUAGUUUCAACGUAUUCUUUGAAUAGAUUUAUUUAUUUAUUUUUUAUUUUUUGCCCUGCCGAGCUCUUUGUAGUCUUUGUAGGCAAACACAUGAAACUUGGCAAAGGCAUCAUGCUCUUUACCACAGGGACAGCUGCUUCUCCAGUACUAGUCCACUUCUUUUCUUUUAAAAGUUUUUGAAAAGAAGAAGCACUAUAAUUAUGAUCAUUAGCCUAUUUGAGCUCUACUUUCAACCAAUUUCAUUAUAAUGUUAUCAUUACAUUUUGAGAAAAUAGUUGUUCAAUAAAUACGACAUUUUUCCAAGAUAUGCAUUAUGAACAUUAAGUCAUAAUCUCAUGAAAAAACUUUGAUAUCUUCUGUAACUAGUUCAUUAGAUGAUUAUUUUAAUCGAACUGAUUCUUGAUACAAAAGACAAACUUCUGUCUUAUACUCACUACCCUAGAAAGAUAUGAUCUUUUAAAAACAUGAAAUAACAGAUUUGAUUAACCUCAACCACUCCAUGAAAAUGAUUUUUAAUGUUCUUAUUUUGAAAGCUGUCUCAGAAAUGUUAGCAUCUAUUUCAUUUUAUAGAUUUUGGAAUCACAACUGAAGAUUCAAUGAUCAGUAGAGGAAACAGAAGGUGAGUUGGCAUAUGAGCCUAUCUCUGCUUCCAAAAAGAUGAGCAUGUGACUCUAGAACUAAGAGUUAUUAAUCACAGCAUUUUCCAAACUACUAUAUUUUUUAUUUUUUGUAAUUUUUUAAGUUUAUUUUAUUUAUUUUGAAACAGAGAGAGAGGGAGACAGAGAGAGAGAGAGAGAGAGCAUGGGAGGGGCAGAGAGAGAGAGAGAGGGAGACAGAGAGAAUCCCAAGCAGGCUCUGCAUUGUCAGCAUGGAGCCUGAUGCAGGGCUAGAACUCAUAAACCAUGAGAUCAUGACCUGAGCCAAGAUCAAGAGUCAGACACUUAACUCACUAAGCAACCCAGGUGCCCCUAAACUGCUAUAUUUAAUGCUUAAUAUUAUGAUAUUCAUCUUUAUAAUGCCUUCAGGCAGAUGUCACAGAUCCUUUUGAGAUAAAUUUAUGCCUCUAGUUAAAACAUUCUAAGGAAGGCCUUUUUAAUGCAUUUUAAUUUAACCUCACAUAUAGUAUUUUCUUAACACAAAUUGUUCUUUUGCAAAUUAAAAUAUAUUUCUUUGUUCUAAAUUUUGAAUAAAUGAAAUGGCCUAUUCAUCAAUCAGAAAGUGUUUAAAAUGAGAUAAUUUUUAUAAUACCAUUUAUAAGGCUCUUAGAAAUUUUUCUCUAGGUUUCACUUUAGAUUCAAGCUCUGAGAACCAACUGAAACCUAACUGUAUUAGUCUUCUAGGGCUGCCAUAAAAAAAUAACAGACUGGGAGGCUUCACAAAUUAAUUUUCUCACAGUUCUGGAUGCUGGAAGUUCAAGAUUAAGGUGUUGGCUGGUUUGGUUUCUCUUUAGGCCUCCCUUUUGGGCUUGUAGAUGUCCACCUUCUCACCAUGUCCUCACAUGGCCUUUUCUCUGUGUGUACGCAUCCCUGGUGUCUCUUCCAGUUCCCCACUUAUGACCUCAUUUAACCUUAAUUACCCCUUAAUUGAGGGUCGUAUUUCCAAAUAUAGUCACCAUUUGGAUUAGGGCUUCAACAUAUAAAUUUUUGGAAAAAAACAAUUUAGUCCAUAAUACCAACAAUUUCUAAGAAAUUAUUUCAAAGAAGGUGGAAGAGAUAAGAAUUAUUUUAAAAAUUUAGAAUCUCUAAGUAAAAAGUAAUCAUCCAUGUCUUCUAUACGCCAAUGACUCCCAAAUUUAAAUUGUUAUGUAUGAACUUCUUACACAUCAGCCCUUCAAAACGAAUUCUUCAGCCAAAUAUUUCAUUAACUAUUUAUAAUUGGAAACCCUUUUAUGACUCAAUGUCAAAUUGAUGCCAGAGACACUAUUAGUUUCCUACCAGAGAUACUAUUAAAUGCCACAGCAGUUUAUGAAAAUUUUUCUAUAUAUUAGUAUGCAUACUUUUUGGAUUUAUACUCUUCCUCAGAUUCUUCAAAAAGAUUUCUCUUUCCUUGGUUCUUCAAUGUUUUUCAAUUAUGCCCCUUUUUAAAUUUUUGUUUGUUUGUUUGCUGAUCAUUACAUGAAAAUAGAUCUGCUUGUGGACAUAAGCAUUUUAAGAGGUGACCUUAGCUUGUUCUUUAUUCUCUAGGGUUUCACCAAAAUCCCUUUCCUCUUUUUAGGUCAGGAAUUUAAAGCCAAGCCUGUAGGCACUGAUUUUAGCCAAAUUCCCAACAUUCAGGGAGCAUUUAUGUAAGCAUUUAUCUAGAUUUUUCUAAUGUGCAAUUGUCUCAUAUCCUAUAUCACAUGUCUUGUUAUCUGGAGCUCUUACACUUUGACAAGUAGAAUUCAUAAAAACCUCUUCUCCAGGAAGAAACAAAUAUGUUGUCUCUAUAGUGGCUCUUUGUUACUUCAUUCCUUCCCUAUAGGACUUGAUUUGUUAGAUUCACUCUUAACCAAAGAAUUUAUUGAGACAGCACCAAUAUCUAUACCUAACCAAAUCAAUCCAUCAACAAACAGAUAUAUUUCAUCUUCUGAGAAGUGGGAUUCCUGAAUGAAUGGCAGGCAGUGGGAGGGGUGGAGGAUGGGGGAGAGGGGAGAUGUGUGUGGGGUGUACAAAAAGAAUAGACUCAUUUCUCUGGUUCCCUUAAAAAAAACACCCACACUUACUAAUUUCCUGAUGAGUACAACUCUCAGUUCUAUGAGCUUCAGAAUUUGGUGCUGAUGUGUGUGUUAACUUCUUGUCUUUUGGGUAGGCGCUGGUUGUUUCUGAAUCCAGUUCUAUGUUAACUAGAAUGCCUCAACUUUCCCAAACUCACACUCUAAUAACACAGGAUAGAAAACAGACUGUUACUCUCCAAAAUGAAAUUUUUGCAUAAGUAAAGAUUUACUAUGCUGAUGUCCCAAUUUAGCUUUCCAUUCCUCCUACUGGGUGACAAUUAUUGAUAUCCAAUAUUAAAUUUGCCUUAUAAUAAUACAUAAUAAGAACUUUUAUUAAGUGCUUACUAAUAUGCCAGAAAGUGUUCUUAGCUUACUACAUACUAAUUUUUCAUGUAAUAUAUCAACCCCAAAUUGGAUGUAUUAUCAUUAUCUCCAUUGUAUGCAGAUAUUGAGGUUAUAGGGAUCAAAGAAUUUGCCUGUCACAUAAAUAAAUAGUAUAAAUUUAUAUCAGAGCUCAACAAAAUACAGACUUAAUCAAUGACUAACUCUGAAAAAUAAUCUUUCUCACUUCUCCCAAGAUGUAAAUGGAACAAAGCAAACUGUGGGUUGCCUUCUGUAGUACUUUAUAUCUAUUGAAACAUAAUCAAAAUUAUUUUGUGUGUGUCAGUACACAAGUUAUAGCUUCACUGAAAGAUUAUUUCAAGAUCAGGCCAAUGACAACGACUUUGCAUAGUUGUUCUACUUCAGAAUUGUUGAAGAGAAGAGUAAUUUCCACAUUUGCUGGAAACAGUCUACCUCAAACCUACUUUUGUUCUUUUGGCAUAUGAAUGACAGUGUGUUAAAUAAUAUUAUAGUCCUAUAAAAUCCUCUAGCUUUCCUCUUACAGGAGGGGGCAGAUAGGAUUUAAUUAACUGGUAAAAAUAUAACAAUUAUAGAGUAGUGAUCAAAGAGAGCAAUUAAUUUGUAAGAUUUAAAAAAUAAGAGCUGACAAUAAUCACAAAAAAUAAUAUAUGAUGUCAAGUAAAAUGGAAUGUUUGAAUCUCUGAAAUUUGAAAUUCUGAUAUAUAAAUACUAUGCCCAUUUGAUGUUCAUCCUUUUCUCCCUAUCUUUUGUUACUUUUUGUGGCUCAUAUUUCUUCCCCCUUCUGGACUAUCUCUCAGUCUCUCUCUCUUUCUUUUUCUCCUUCCCUCUCCCUCUCUCUCACAGUUGCUUAGAUCACAAUAACAUCUUCUUUAUUGGUCCAGAGGAAAAUCCUGGCCUUCUACUAAGAUUAAAUCCUGAAUCAAAACAAUGAGUUUGAAAAGUUGAUCCAGUGGAAGAGGGGGAAAAACCUUAAUGUUUAAAACAUUUUCCCAGGGGUUCCAGGACUAUUAUCCUUCACUGUUUGGGAAACCAAGUCAGUUAAAGGCAUUCAUAUGUAAAACAUUCCUUUACAAAGAGCUCACAGUGACUGUUAAGAGUCUUGGAGAGACUUUUACAGAUUUGGAGAGACUUGGUAUAGAUUUUAUAUCUUUAACCAAGAAUAAUUAUAAACAUUUUAUAUGAUCUGAAUGAAUUUAUUUGUACACUCUUCAAAAAUGUAAUUGCUACUUAAUUUUUAGGAAAAAAAUUAGGAAACAUUAAAUUCUGUAUCUCUAUGAAAUGUUUUAGUUAUGAACUGUAUAAAGCAUGGAGAAUGAGAGAUCAGAAUAAAAAUGUUAAAGAAAACACUACAUUUUUAAUCUUAUCUUUUUUCUUGGUCUACCUAUUCUUAUUCUUUAGCUAUCACUGGAGUAUAAUCGCUUCAUCCACUGUACAGUGAUUAAAAUACUUAAUUUCUUACACUGAAGUUUUUUGGUAACUUUUCUGAGAUGAGAGAAUUUGUAGAUGAAUUGCAAUAAAAUCCAAAAGUUGUUCUGGAAAAGCACAAGAGCAAAAAUAUAAAAAUUGGAUGCAGAAGGGAGUUUUUAAAUUUUCACUUGUACAGAGCGCAGGACUCCAGUUCAAAGGUAUAUGAAUUCAUUUAUUUAUUUCUGCAGUAGGCCUUUGGGCUUCUGUAUCAUCCUGACUUUUUGAAAGGAAGAUACACCAUACAUAAUAUAAUUUUAUGAGCAUCAUAUUAUUAGACAUCUUUGGGGUAUAUUUUUAGAUUCCCUUUUUCUAAAUAAUGCCUAAGAUUGUUGACAUAACUCCUUUAUUAACUAAGGCAUUGAGAAGAAAAGAGGAAAAAAAAACUCCUUAUAGCUAUAAGCAAAAUCUCAAAAUAAGUUUUCUAAGUAUAUCAAUAAAUAUAAAAAUAGCAUUAUUUUACCAACCAUAAUAUUUUGUUGCAUGUAUACCUGAAAUAAAUCAAUGGGGAAAAGUUCCUUUUUUUUUUUUUUUUUUAGUUUGGCCUUUGAUACUUAAUGUAUUUGCAUUAACACAUAAAUAAUAAUAACAAUAUUUUCCCCUUAGAAUAAUAGAAUUAAAGAACAAAAAAGAAUUUAAGAAUCUAGUCCAAUACCCUUAUUUUACAAACAAAACAAAACUGACACCACCAAAGUUAAAUGGAUUUGGUCAAAUUAUGUAGAGCUUGUUUAGUAGCAGAAACCAAGACAACAUAUAGAGGUGAGAACAUUAGGAACUUUAAUGCACUAUACACAAGAAGCCUUAGGUCACACCUGUUUGUUGCUAGAAACAGCUCUCACUCUGUUUCCUCUGUGAUCCCCAGGUUUGGUCAAAAUUAGAACCCUGGGUUUACUCUCAUUCAACCAGAUGCUAUUUGAAUUUUUUAAAGCAACAUUUUAUUUAAAUAUAUGCUUAUUGCCAAAAAACCUUUAAUAUCAAGCAGUAUAUAUUUAUAUCUCACUCUAUCUCAGCCCUCACUUUAUACUCAAAGACCUCUCAUUCUUUUAUUUUUAAAUUUGGAUUUUUUUCUCUUAGCAUAUAAAAGUCUAUGCUAUAGCAAAAUUCCAGGGCUAAUAGGCAAAAACAUACUACUAAACUUGAAUAUACACCAUUUGAGAAUUAGAAGAGGGGCACCUGGAUGAUGGUUAAGUGUCCGACUUCUGCUCAGGCCAUGAUCUCAUGGUUUUUGGGUUCGGCCCUGCAUCGCGCCCUGUGCUGACAGCUUGGAACCUGGAGACUGCUACAGAUUCUGUGUCUCCCUCUCUGCCCUUCCAAUGCUUGCACUCUGUCUCCCUCUGUCUCUCAAAAAUAAAUAAAUGUUCAAAAAAAAUUUUUUUAAGAAUUAGAAAAAAUAGUUCGUUUGAAAAUGUUCACAACUUUUCCAUUUUGAUUGUCAUAGUAUAUUUACCUACCAAUUAAAAAACUUUUUUUUUUCAGAAGUAUGAGAGAACACUUUUUUGACUAAUUUAAUAGUGCUUUUCUUUAUUUUGCAAAUGGAUGGGACAGGGACACCUGGCUGGCUCAGUUGGGGGAGCCUGUAACUCUUGAUCUCUGGGUCAUGGGUUAGAGUUCCCUCUUGGGCAUGGAGAUUACUAAAAAAAAUAAAUAAACUAAAAACAAACAAACAAAAAACAAAAUGGCUGGAACAAACCAUCUUAACUUUUAUUCUUUCUAUGGACACAUGAAUUUUACAAUGAUCAGUUUUUGUAAAUUAUUAAAACAAUGCUAAUGAUUAUAACUAUGCACACAUAUUUGGUAAUGGAUAAUAUUUAUUUAUUCAUUAAAAAGCUUAGUGAAGUUUACGACAUUCCAGACAAUGCCCGGAGACCUAAAGAUUAGUAAGACAAUGCCCUCAAAUAGCUCUCACAUUUAGUGGGGAGAAUAAAAAAAUCAGACCUCACCAAAUCCAGUGUGAUAAUGUGCUAUUAGAGGAUGCAUAAAAAAGGAGCAUUACGCUAUCUGUGGUGUAGGCAUAACUUGGGGGGGAGACUCUGGAAGUAAGUUCAGAGUUUCUUAAGGAUGGCCCAGUUAAAGUUAAGUCCUGAAAAGACAGUAAUUAGAUCCUUCGUAAAGAAUUAUUAGUAUUGUUGUGUAAAAUAGUUUAUUUUUUCCAAAAGUCUACUCUUCUCACAUUGGACUAAAAAAUUUUCCAGUUGAUUAGUUAACAUGUGUUUUUAAGGAUGUUGAUUCCCAUCACUCCUUCCCUGAGUAGGAAAUAAAACAGGGAAAUGGGUCUUAUCUUCUAGUUUUGGCUUCCUCUUUUCCUCUCUUUCUCUUUUUCACACACCCACAACAGAAGAGGAUCAAAUCACAUUUUUUUUUAAAUACUUAUUUGGUUACUUAUUUUAAGUAUUAACCAUAGCAGGGGCACCUGGGUGGCUCAGUCAGUUGAGCAUCCAACUCAUUUAGGCUUAGUUCUUGAUCACACAGUCUGUGAGGUCGAGCCUGGAGUAGGGCUCUGCACAGACAGCUUGGAGCCUGCUUGGGAUUCUCUCUCUCUCUUUCUCUCUCUCUUUCAAAGUGGCUUUCAGAAAAUUUAAAUUACCUAUGGGUUUCACAUCAUAUUUCUUUGGAAAUCACUGUUUUAAAUAUUUUGAUUCGAUUAAAUUCUGUGUAGUACAACAAUCUAUAUGUAUUUUUUAAAGACCAUCAAGUGGAGUGCCUGGGUGACUCAGUCAGUUAAGCAUCCGACUCUUGAUUUCAGCUCAGGUCAUGAUCUUGCAGUUCGUGAGAUCAAGCCCCAUGAAGCUCUGCACUGACAGCAUGGAGUUUGCUUGGGAUUCUCUCUCUCCCCCUAUCUCUACCCCUCCCCCACUUGCACAUGUGCUCUCUCCCUUUCAAAAUAAAUAAAUAAACAUUAAAAAAAGUACUAACCACACCACUAUAAACAAUGGUCAGUUAAAACUCCAUAGAAACCAACCAACCAACCACCAUAUUAGGUUCCCCUAUACUUCCUCUUUUUUUUCCCUCCUUUUUUGUACCAACUGGUACCCCCUUUUAUGCAGGGGCAGAAUCCUCCUAAGAUUUUCUUCAUGAUGAAGAUAUGUAGCAGAAAAUUUCAGUUUCAUUAUAAAUUGAAUAUUCUGUACAUCUCCACUAAAGAAUUUAUUCCCAACUUUUAAAAUUACAUAUUUUCUUACAAGUAAUUUUCAUUAAAUAAGAAGAACUAAAUCAAAAUUAUGCAAUUCUACAGAAAAAGAAAGUAUUUUAAAAAUCAUUUUAUUGUUUUUGUUUUUUUGCUGGGGAUGGUGGUGGGUGGUCCAGAAUCAAGCUUUCCCAAUAAGAAUGAAGUGAUAAAGCUCAAAUGAAUCACAGCCCCAUAUUGGCAGUAUUUUAUAUUAAAAUAAAAGGCAACAUUAUGUUUUAAAACACAAUAGUAUAUUUUAUUUAAUAACAAAUUAUCAAUUUAAUUAUUUCAAUUAUUUUUAUUAUAUAUGUAUAUAUUUAUUAUUAAGUUUUAAUUAUUUUGGACAACAAGAUAAACUUAAUUAAGAGCUGCUGCAGACUUUUCUUUUUUUCCCCUUGAACCAUUUAUGGUUUAUAUAUGCACCAUUUUAUUUCCAACUAAUAACCUCCUGCUAUUUCUAGACAAUGCCUCUGAUACCUUCAGUUUCACUGGUUUCUUUAUCAAAGAAUUGAUGAAGCAAAUAAGGACCAAAAGUUGAUAAUGCAAAACCAAGUCUUUUUAGGGUAUGUGUUUGUGAUAAAUCAAGAAAGACUUUUACUUCUUUGAUAGUAUUGUCCUGGGGAUCUAAAGAGAAGAUGCGAGAGACUUAAUCACAGGUGUUUAUUACCAUUUUUAGAUCAAAGGCCUAAUAUAUAAAAGAAAAGGCACCUCCUAACAGAGCAAGGGUCAGCAGUGUUAUGUACAGAGCAAAGGCAGUUCUGAUAAGACAAGUGCUUUUCGAAAGGGUGCCUUUUGUCACACUCUCUUGAAUAUUGUAAUCCCAUGUGUAUGGUGACCGAUAAAGUCCUUCUGUAAAGAAAGCUGACAAUUGGCAUUGUUUGUUAAAUAUCCAUAUAUAAUUUUACUCAAAAUUAAAAAUCUUGUCACUGGGACCAAUGAAAGCAAACCAAGGCAUUCCCUUUCUGCUGCAGGGGAGAGAGAGAUGACUUCUUAAGUACUUACCACGUCCCAGAUUGUAAUAGGUGAUUAUGUGAGUUAUUACAUGUAACCCCCACAGUGUAUUUAAGAUAUGUUGUAUUAUGUCCAUCUGAAAGCUACAGAAACCCAAGUAGAGGCUGCAGUUUAGGUAUCUGCCUACAUUCUUAAUUAGUAGAUACUGCAGCUAGUAUCCAAAACCAGAGAUCCAAAAACCUGUGCUCUAUGCCCUGCACUUUGCUUUCUGUUUUCCUGUCUUUUUUUUCCCAAUACAAUUCCCCUACUGUUAUUUAAAAGAAAAAAAAAUGUUGUUAUCUGCUGCCUAAAGCAGCCUACUGCUCAGAUAGGUGUAUUGACUCUUGCCCCAGAAGGGCUCAUGUGAGUUUUCCAGCUAUAGCCUCCGUCCAGAUGUCUGUCCAGUAGACUGUUUUUAACUUUUAUUGACUUUCAUCAUCACUUUUUUUUUUUCUUUGAGAUUGCCAGGGUUAUCACUGGUCAGAAAGACUCCCGGUGGGGAAACACGCCUCACUAGAAAGACAAACACACAUAGUACUACAAUCCAAGUUGCAAUUUGAGAAAUGGGCCUCAACAAUGUAUGAGAUUCGUUUUGAAGUGACCAAGUCAGACCUCAGGAUGUUAUGAAUCUUUUCUUUUCCUCCAAAAGAAGAAGAAGGAAAAAAAAAAAGAUCAACUUAUUAGGUUCCUAGGGAACCAUUCCAUAUGAUUAACCUAUUUUCCUUUUAUUUUAACUUUUACUAAAAAACUGUUAAUUUUCCAUAGUGAUUUUUUUUUUCUCUUUAUUAGGAAAAAGUCCUACUGUAGCAGACAGAUUUUAUACUUGACUUUUUGGGAAAUCAACCCUUCUUUUGUUUCUUCAGUGUAUUUUGCAUUUACAUGAAAAUGCAUUGUCUUAAGAUGCAGGGAGAGAGGGGGCAGUCAGGUUAUGAAAAUGUUUUACUAUUGUCAUUAAGGCCUGUUACUCCAUGUCAAGCGUGACAGGGCAUUUUUUUCUUUAACACAUCCUGGUCCAGUUAAGGCUGAGAUUCAGAAAAAGUGCUUGACACAACAAUUUAGCAGGAAAGAAAGCUAUUUUAAAAGUCUUUUGGGAACAUGUUUGUGAAACAGGAAAAAACAUACCAUUGAGUUGAUAAUAGCACCCCCGUAAAGGUUAGACUCACUGAAAUGGAUUUGCCAUCUUUUUUCACAGGGAACGUGUUAUUCUUAAGCAGCAGUUCUCACUUAGGCAAAGCUUAAUUCAGCAAGGAGUUUCUUCCUGUGCAACUGCUUUUGCACUGGAAAAUCUAUUUUUAAAUUACAACCCAGACUUAGUCACACCGGUAAAUAAUUGAAAAUAAGCUUUGUUGGGUAUGUCCAAAAUGACAGCACUUUACAGAGUGCAUCACGGGACUGUGUUCCUAGCAAAUGUCCAAAUGGCGUAUCCAGAUUUCCACUCAUUAAGUCCCCAAAGAACCUCCAUUUCCUCACAGGUCUGCACCUUUACCUUCCUUCACUCAUACAACCCUUGCUUGUUCUGUACCUAUGCCCUGUUUUUCCAGUUCCUUGUCCCAAGAAACCCUAUCUCUACCCUCUAUCAACACACAUUCUUACGGUGAAUUCCUUAAACACUGAUGUUUUGAAAUGUGCUCUAAUUCAGUUCGCAUACACAUCUCUUCGAAUACACUGUCUCUUCCCUUCCUAUGGUGACAGUCCUUCUGGAUGAAAUUUCAUCGUUUACUAUUCUAUGAUAUGAUUAUGGGUGUGAACUUUCUUUCAAGGCCCUCCCUUACUCAUUUUGAGAACCAUCUCGACAAAGGCCCAGGCACUUUGUUCUUCAAAAUGUCUCAUCUGUACUCAGAUAUUUUCCCACCAACCUUUUUCCUCUGCUGUAUCCCCUAUUAUCAGUGAUUGGAACUUACUCAGAUAUUCAUGUUAGAAUUCUGAAAAUCUGUUUAGGUGUUUUACACUCCCUAAAUUCUCAUAUUCUCACAGAUUAAAUAUUCCUCUACAUCCCCAUUAUUAUUAUUCUUAAUUCUAGCCUUUAUGAUUAUUUUCUUCCCUCUUUAGAAGUCACUACAGUAUUCCAAUUUGUCUAUGUCUGCCCUUGUUGCCCUCUUUGAAUUAAUCCUCCUGCUUUCUAAAUUUUUUUUAAUGUUUAUUUAUUUUUGAGAGAGACAGAAUGUGAGGAGAGGAGGGGCAGAGAGAGAGGAAGACACAGAAUCUGAAGCAGGCUCCAGGCUCUGAGCUGUCAGCACAGAGCCCAAUCCCGGGCUUGAACCCACGAACCAGGAGAUCAUGACCUGAGCCGAAGUCGGACGCCUAACCGACUGAGCCGCCCAGGUGCUCCAUGCUUGCUAAAAUGAAAAUCUUAUCACAGUGCUCUAUUGCUUAAGACCCCUACUAUCAUUAUUUAUUUUUUGUAGUGGAGGUAGCAGAUCUUUGGAAUACAUGUUAUUCCUUCUCAGUUGGUACCCAUGGUAGACAUCGCUGAUGUAUCAGUGCCUCUCACCAGGUUUAGCCUCAGACUUAUCACUGCUUCUCAAGGUAGUCCUGCCUGCCACCGCAGCAAAUCACAGCAGGCAUCUCUAGCCUACAUUAUCAGAUAAAAACUCAAGAAAAUACCAUCUCUAAUCUGUUUCCCUGUCUCCCUGGAAAGUCUCAUCUCUUUAUGUACCACUUCCAAGCACCUGGAGCUUCAAAUUACUGAUUUUUUUAAAACUCCACUGAAGUGUCUGUCAUAUUCUCUGUGUCUCUCUCGCUUUCUCCACGUGUGUGCAUGCGUACACACACUCACACAUAAGCUACUCCCAUGUAAGAUGUGUCAUUCCAUCUGUCCAAUCAGACACUGAAAAAUAUUUAUUGAAUACCUAUAACACUUUAUUAUCCAUAUUUGUACAUGAGUUUCUUCUCUUGUAUGGUUUUAACCAUCUCUAAGAGCAAAAACUAUAACAUUUCUGGAUCCCCAGCACUUAAUAUUGCCUUUGGAAUAUACUAGGUUCUAAAUAAAUCUUUGAAUGAGUAAGUAAAUAAAUGAAUAUAUUAAAAAUUAUUAAGACGGAACUGUUUCAUGGUUGUAAGAAAUAGAGAUCCUAUAAAGGAACAGAUUUCAGUAUUAUCAACACUGUUUCUUCACAAAAAUAAUGGAUAAUGUAAUCAAUUUUAAACAAAAUGUGCAUUUACCUGAGACACAUCCAAUGAUUUUUCUCUUUCCUUCCUCUCUCUGUCUCCCUCCCCCUCCUUCCCACUUCCUUCCUUCCUCUCUUCCUUUCUUUUUUCCAUCCUUCCUAAACUUCUCUUUUACCUACUCAUAGAAGGGAAAUAGUUGAGAUAUAAGCUUUUAAACUUGGGUUAAUUUCUAAGAAUGGACUAAAGUUCAUUAAUUUUUCUUCUCUUUCUUGCUAAUAUUCCUGUUUGUUGUUUCUUUGUUAUUAUUGGUUGUAAUGACACAAUUUAAAUAUGUCACAAGUGGAAUAAAACUAUCCGCCUUUUUGUAUAUAAGCUGUCAGAUUUCCAUGCCUGUAAGAAAGUAAGACUGCAGAAAUGUAAAGAAAAGAAAUUACUGACAGGAGAAAAGAGAUAAACAAUUGUAAAUACUAUUUAAACCUAAUGUGGGGCGCCUGGGUGGCGCAGUCGGUGAAGCGUCCGACUUCAGCCAGGUCACGAUCUCGCGGUCUGUGAGUUCGAGCCCCGCGUCAGGCUCUGGGCUGAUGGCUCAGAGCCUGGAGCCUGUUUCCGAUUCUGUGUCUCCCUCUCUCUCUGCCCCUCCCCUGUUCAUGCUCUGUCUCUCUCUGUCCCAAAAAUAAAUAAACGUUGAAAAAAAAAAUUUUUUUUAAAUAAAAAAAUAAAUAAAAAAUAAACCUAAUGAAUAUUUUCUACGUUUAUCACUUAGCUUUUGCCUCAAUUAUGUAUAAUGGUUAUUUUUUAUAAACUAAAUUUUUUUUCUCAAAGGAAAUAUAUUUUUGUGUAUGAGUUGAGAAGUACUUUCUGAAAAUAAAUUUCAAGGAAAAUGUACUCUUCCUUAUAAAUCAAAACAGCUCUUAACAUAUAAAAUAGAGUUAAUGCAUGUUCUGUAAUUCAGGCAGGUUUUUUGUUCAGUGUGUUUGAUUUUACAGUGUGAACAUUAUCUCUUGACAAAGGAGUGAGAGAGAGGAAAUUAGAUGUUCUGCUCAGCACGAAUCUUCCCUUAUAUACACAUGCGUUUUGUGUUGCAUUUAAUUUUUUAAAGAACAGCUUUAUUAACAUACAAAUCACAUGGACAAAUCACAAAAAGGACUCCUGUAUUCAUUAGCAAUCAGUCCCCAUCAUCACUCUCCCUUAGCCCCAUGCAACCACUAAUCUCUGUCUCCAUAUAUUUGCCUGUGCUUCAUAUAAAUAGAAUCAUACAAUAUGUGUCUUUUGUGAUUGGCUUCUUUAACUUAGUGUAAUGUUUACAAGGUUUCUCCGUGUUAUAGCAUGUACUACUACUCCCUUCUUUUUAUUGCUAGGUAAUAUUCUAUUGCGUGGAUAUACAACAUUUUGUUUAUCCAUCAAUUGAUAGACAUUUGAGUUAUUUGUACUUUUUGACGAUCAAAAAUGAUAUUGCUAGGAACAUUCAUACACAGGUGUAUUUUGGGACAUAUGUUUUCAUUUCUGUCAGAUAUAUAUAUGAGUGGAAUUUUUGGAUAAUAUGGUAAUUCUAUGUUUAACAUUUUAGAGAACUGUUAAACUGUUUUCCAACCUGGCUGCAUCAUUUUACACUCCCAUCAGCAAAGUUACAAUUUCUCCACAUCUUUCCUUUACAUGUAAUUGUCUUUUUAUUAUAGCUAUCUUAGUGGGUAUGAAGUGGUAUCAUUGUGGUUUUGAAUUGCACUUCUGUAAAACUAAUGAUGUUGAGUAUUUUUUUUUCGUAUGUUUGUUGGUCAUUGUAUGUCUCUUUCUGUUUUUGCUUUUAAAGUUUAUUUAUUUUGAGAGAGAGAGAGAGAGAGCACAUGAAUGGGGGAAGGACAGACAGAGAGGGAGACAGAAUCAUAGCUGACUCCACACUGCCAGCACAGCACCUGAUACGGGGCUUGACCUCACAAACCGUGAGAUCAUGACCUGAGCUGAAAUUAAGAGUCAAAUGCUUAACCAACUGAGCGACCCAGGCACCGCCAUUUGUAUGUCUUAUGUAGAAAAAUAUCUGUUCAGAACCUUUGUCCAUUUUUUAGUUGGGUUAUUCAUCUUUUUAUUAUUGAAAAUAAAAGUUCUUUGUAUAUUUCAGAUACAAAUCCUUUAUCAAAUAUGUGAUUUUCAAAUAUUCCUAUUUUGUGAUUUGCUUCAUUUUCUUGAUGGUAUCAUUUGUAUCACGAAAGUUUUUAAUAUUGAUGUAGUCCCCAUCUAUUUUUUUGUUUCUUGUGCUUUUGGAAUCAUAUGUAUGGUAUCAAAUGUAAGAGUUGUAUUUACUUUUUGAGCAAGCUAUAAAUAUCUUGCCAUAAGCACACACUAGUUGUGGAUUAUCCAAGAGUAUGCACUGCUAAGUUAUUUCAGAUUUAAAAAAAAAAAAAAAACCACUUCAUGGAUAUAUUUGGGGAGAAAAGUUUCCGAAGUCCUGUUGGCUGGGCUUGGUUUAUGCUUUGGGAAUGAAUAACAAUGUCCUGUUUUGUGAAAAGGAAAAUAAUCUAUAGUUAUUUAGAUUACAGAAUGGAGAAGAGUUUUAGGUCAUCUUAUUUUACAGUCAGGAAACUGAGGCCUAGGAAGCUCAGUAACCUGGCAAUAUUCAGGCUUUGUAAGCUAGGCAAAAUGCAAAAUGGAACCUUCUUAGUAAUCUUUCCACUGCACCAGCAUUUCUCAAAAUGUUAGUUAGAAAUGUUUGGUUGCAAAUAUUUUGGAGACAAAAUUCCAGAUCAAUUCUGUUUAGUCAUAAAAUGUAACUUACCAGUUACCUUGAUGAGGAAGUCCACUAUUACAGCUGAUUUCAGAUAUGGAUAGAUUCAAAGGCUCUAAUAAUGUCAUAGGAUUCCCCACUAAUUUGUAGCUUUCAGCUGAUUGGUUCAUUUUUUUUAAAAAAAGGUUUUUUCCAUAUGGUGGGAAGAAUACAUUAGGAUAGCCUAGUAAUCAUGCCCUACUUGCUUUGCAACCUCCAAAAAGAGAAAAUCUUCCCUGAUAACAUUAAGAGAAAAGUCCCAGAGAGAAUACUGAUGAUGUAGCUUGACUACAUGUCUAUGCCUAAACACACCAAAACCAGAGGAUGAUGCUAACCUGAACAAAUUUCAGUGACUUCCUACCUCUGUGACCAGGAGGACAGACUCACUUGAACCAGAAGGAAGAGAUUCUCUACUGCAAAGAGGGGUUUAUUUUAUCAGGGGUAAAAGAGUUGUGCUGAAUCAACAGAUCAUCAGAGUUCCUAUGCUUCCCAAAUGUUGAGAUAUGCUAGUAGGUAUUGUAUAAAUUUGAUUUUUUAAGAAAAAUUGAAAGCCCCAAAUGACAAAAAUGCAACUCUGAUGAUGCGCUACUAUGUUAACUUAAAUUUCCAAGAGAUUUCCACGUUUUCUGAUUUUAUUGCCUUUGGAAGAAAACAUGUUUUCACAUAGAAUUUGACUCCUGACUUUGUGAAAGGGAAACAGGUAUAAAACUCUUAGUCUAAAGAGCUGGAAAGAUAUGUUUUGUUUUUAUACUCUUUGAGCAAGCAAUUCUUUCCAUAUUAGAUCUCCUGGAGGGAGAGUGUUCCACCAAGUACAAAGCCUUUUUUUUUUUCAGUCGCCCUCCCACCUUUUACUAAUUGGACUGAGAUUUGGCCACUUGCCUCUUUCAAAUAAAAAGAAGGUGACCAAAAUCACCGGAAAAUAGCUAAUCAUGCCCACAAUGGGAAAAUUAUUCCCAUGAGUAUGUACUUCAGAGUGUAAAAUUAAGUCCCAAAUUUAAUCACAAUUUUAUCUGUCUUUAUGGCUAUUCAACUAUUCAACCUGGAAUGUUCAUUAGAUAAGCAACUAAGCAUAAUGUUUCUCUCUCUCUCUCUCUCUCUCUCUCUCUCUCUCUAUAUAUAUAUAUAUAUAUAUAUAUGUAUAUAUGUAUAUAUAUAUAUUUUUUUUGGGGGUUCCAAUACAGUGUCAGUAGGGCUAUUACAGUCAAAUUAAACUCAAAGUUGGGAGAUUUUAUAUCUUGUUUUUAAUUGCAUUAGCAUGUUAUAUUCUAAGUUGUGACUAUUUAAUUAGAGUGUAUACAAACAAUUUGUUAAACUUUUAGUUUAUAUAAGUUCAAUAUCAGNNNNNNNNNNNNNNNNNNNNNNNNNNNNNNNNNNNNNNNNNNNNNNNNNNNNNNNNNNNNNNNNNNNNNNNNNNNNNNNNNNNNNNNNNNNNNNNNNNNNNNNNNNNNNNNNNNNNNNNNNNNNNNNNNNNNNNNNNNNNNNNNNNNNNNNNNNNNNNNNNNNNNNNNNNNNNNNNNNNNNNNNNNNNNNNNNNNNNNNNNNNNNNNNNNNNNNNNNNNNNNNNNNNNNNNNNNNNNNNNNNNNNNNNNNNNNNNNNNNNNNNNNNNNNNNNNNNNNNNNNNNNNNNNNNNNNNNNNNNNNNNNNNNNNNNNNNNNNNNNNNNNNNNNNNNNNNNNNNNNNNNNNNNNNNNNNNNNNNNNNNNNNNNNNNNNNNNNNNNNNNNNNNNNNNNNNNNNNNNNNNNNNNNNNNNNNNNNNNNNNNNNNNNNNNNNNNNNNNNNNNNNNNNNNNNNNNNNNNNNNNNNNNNNNNNNNNNNNNNNNNNNNNNNNNNNNNNNNNNNNNNNNNNNNNNNNNNNNNNNNNNNNNNNNNNNNNNNNNNNNNNNNNNNNNNNNNNNNNNNNNNNNNNNNNNNNNNNNNNNNNNNNNNNNNNNNNNNNNNNNNNNNNNNNNNNNNNNNNNNNNNNNNNNNNNNNNNNNNNNNNNNNNNNNNNNNNNNNNNNNNNNNNNNNNNNNNNNNNNNNNNNNNNNNNNNNNNNNNNNNNNNNNNNNNNNNNNNNNNNNNNNNNNNNNNNNNNNNNNNNNNNNNNNNNNNNNNNNNNNNNNNNNNNNNNNNNNNNNNNNNNNNNNNNNNNNNNNNNNNNNNNNNNNNNNNNNNNNNNNNNNNNNNNNNNNNNNNNNNNNNNNNNNNNNNNNNNNNNNNNNNNNNNNNNNNNNNNNNNNNNNNNNNNNNNNNNNNNNNNNNNNNNNNNNNNNNNNNNNNNNNNNNNNNNNNNNNNNNNNNNNNNNNNNNNNNNNNNNNNNNNNNNNNNNNNNNNNNNNNNNNNNNNNNNNNNNNNNNNNNNNNNNNNNNNNNNNNNNNNNNNNNNNNNNNNNNNNNNNNNNNNNNNNNNNNNNNNNNNNNNNNNNNNNNNNNNNNNNNNNNNNNNNNNNNNNNNNNNNNNNNNNNNNNNNNNNNNNNNNNNNNNNNNNNNNNNNNNNNNNNNNNNNNNNNNNNNNNNNNNNNNNNNNNNNNNNNNNNNNNNNNNNNNNNNNNNNNNNNNNNNNNNNNNNNNNNNNNNNNNNNNNNNNNNNNNNNNNNNNNNNNNNNNNNNNNNNNNNNNNNNNNNNNNNNNNNNNNNNNNNNNNNNNNNNNNNNNNNNNNNNNNNNNNNNNNNNNNNNNNNNNNNNNNNNNNNNNNNNNNUUUUUUUUUUUUUUUUUUGGCUUAGAUCUUUUUCCCUGAAUUCUCAUAUAACAAAAGAAAAAAAAUUAUGUAGCCACAUGGUCUACUUUCCACUGUCUCAGAUUCAAACUCAAACUCUUUUGGGCAACUUAGUAGGAGGAUACGUAGAGAAAGCCUUCUUGAGCCAGAAAAAAGGUGUUAGGAAUGACUUAGUUUCAAGGAUAUUUUGGAUUUGGGUUAGUUUGAACAAAACCAUUCCUCUAUUUUAACCAUGUUUGCCUUUUACAUAAAUUUGAAAACCUAUCCAAGGCUCAAAUUAUUUUAUCCUACUCUUUCAUUUUACAAAUGAGAUAUCUGGGAAGGUAUGUAACUUGUUCAAGCUCAUUGAAUGACAACAUAUUGACUGAGCACUUCCGACUAACUUCCUGUCUUAGAUGUUGGUGAAAUUACCCCUCUUUAGAACCUUAUGAAUGAGUCCUGUGGACUGUGUUUAAAAGUAAUGAACUAAACCACUAAAAUCAGCAUACGAUUACUAUUCUCCAACAUCAUAAAUAUUUUUAUUGAGAAAUCUUCACUUACUCCCAUCUUCCUACACAACUAGGUGAGAGUAGGUGCUCACUAAUUAGGGUAAGAUGACUAAUUGAAUGUUCACAAGUAUUUCUUAAUUUAAAAUUACCUUACCAAAAUGGCAAGUCUGAGUUGUAAAGCUAUUUACUAAUGUAAGUUUUUUAAAAAGUAAAAUAUCCCAACUUCACUACUAAGAAAAAGAAUUAAAAGAAGGAAAUUGUGUGAGGAAAAAUAUAAAUGUGUUUGAUAAACAAAACAGAAAUGAAAUAUGAAAAUUGGGUGGUUAGGGAAAAUAACUGAAUAAGCAACACAGAAAUGUAUACUGCACUUUUUAAACCUUAAGUAUCCCAAUAAUGGCUCAAUUCUCUAAGUCAGUAUAGUGCAGGGCAAAGGGCCUGAUUUAGAGUUGGAGAUUCUGAGUACUUAGCCUGGGGUCAACCCUAAGCAUCUGUGUGUCUUUGGCCAACUCACUAAGAUAUGAAUGCUCUCAUUCAUUCUGUUGAGAUUAACACUGGCAUGACUAAUUAAAAUUACAGAGUAAUAAAGAUAAUAACAAUAGCUAAUUCUUAUUGUUUAUUAUGAGAUGAGUUCUUUACAUGUAUCAUGUAAUUUAACACUUAAAACAAUCUGACAAGAUGAGUUAUGAUAAAAAUUCUAGGCAACAUUGAUUAAACCACUCUUUGUAUACUACUUUUCCUGUCAGGAAAUAGGGUUAGUGAGUUGAAGCAUUGUAAGGACUAUGUUUGAAGUGUUUGAAGCUGUGUCUCUCUGACUCCAGCACACAUCUUUUAAAUAAGUAUGCAAUAUAAAAAAGGGAGCUAAAGAUUAAGUACUCAUUUUUCUAGUUAGGUAAACCAAGCAGAAAAGAAUUGAAAUACUUUUCUUAAAAUCACAUAACAAUUUAGGAGCAGCUGGAAAGAAAUAUUCUAUAGCUAAUGUGAUUGCCUUGCACUAUGAUAAAUGUAUUCUAAAGUUAGGAAGAAUGACUGGCCAGUUGUGAAGCAGAAAGUUACCACUUACAUUUGACAGGAAAAUGUAAGUUUUGAUCAGGUAAGGAUUUACGGUUGAUUUUCUAUUAUGGCUGUAACAUAUUGCUACAAAUUUAGUAGCUUAAAACAAAAUACAUUUAUUAUCUCACAGCUCCAUAGGUCAGGAGUCCUGUGGGCUUGGCUAGUUUCUCUAUUUCAAGUCUUAUAAGGCCAAAAUCAAGGAAUUCUCUUCUGGAAGUUCUGAGAGAGAAUCUACCUCCUGAUUCAUUCAGGUUGUACAGCUGGGGUCCCCAUUUCUUUGCAGGCCUGUAGGCCUCUUUCUAGUCCUUGUAUGUGGGUCCCUGGCAAAGCCAUCAUCUGUCGUAUCUCUUCUGCUCCCUUUUUAUCUGUUGCAUCUCUCUGACUAUUCAACCUUCCUCUUCUACUUUGAAGUGCUCAAAUGAUUAGUUUAGUGUAGCAGAGUAAUUCAUGGUAAUCUAGGAUAAUCUUCCUAGUUUAAGGUCCAUAACCUUAAAAUGACAGAUUCUGGGGAUUAGGGCAUGGGAAUACUUGGGGGGUCAUUAUUCUGUCUACCACAGGAUUCUUUUAUCUGUACCACUGGUUCUCGACUCUAGCUGUAUACUGGAAUCACCUUAGAAACUUGAAAAAAAUGCUUAUGCCUAGGCUCCAAUCAAGAUGAACUGAAUCCAAAUUUCUUGCAGUAGAAUCCAUACAGUGAUUUUUUUUUUUAGGUGUCAGAAAAGUAUAAUAUGCUUCAUAGGACUAAUAACAUUCUCUAACACCAGUUUCUUCAACUUAAUUAAAUUCAUUUUGUAAGCAAUCCAUUCAAAAUACACUUUCUUUUUCAUUUUUUUAAGUUUAUUUAUUUAUUUAGAGAUGAGUGAGGGAGGGGCAGAGAGAGAGGAAUAGAGACAGAAUCCCAACCAGGUUCCAUGCUAUCAGUGUAGAGCCUGAUGAGGGCUCAAUCCCACAAACUGUAAGAUCAUGACCUGAGCCAAAAUCAAGAGUUGGACACUUAACCAACUGAGCUACCCAGGCACCCAAAACACACUUUCUAUGUAUUCUUUUUAUGGCUAGGUUUGGGAAUUAUAGAGGUAUGUAUAAUGCAUGUCCUACUCUUACCGUGCACACAAUCUAGUGGCACAAACAGACACACACACCAAAGAAUUACAACAUAACAGGAUGCAUUUUAUUUAUUUUUAUUUAUUUAUUUUUUAAUGACUAUGUAUUUGAGAGAGAGUGUGAGUGGGGGAGGAGCAGAGAGAGAGGGAGAGAAUCCCAAGUAGGCUCUGCACUGCCAAUGCAGACCCUAAUGCAGGGCUUGAUCCCACAAACUGUGAGACCUGAGCUGAAAUCAAGAGUCAGAUGCUUAACUGACUGAGCCACCCAGGCACCUCUAGUAUAGAUUAAAAAAAAUUUUUUUAAUGUUUAUUUAUUUUUGAGAGAGACAGAGACAGAAUGCGAGUGGGUUAGGGGCAGAGAGAGAGGGAGACACAGAAUCCAAAGCAGGCUCCAGGCUCUGAGCUGUCAGCACAGAGCCUGAUGUGGGGCUUGAACUCACAAGCUGUGAAAUCAUGACCUGAGCCGAAGUGGGAUGCUUAACUGACUGAGCAGCACAGGCACCCCCCCCCCCAGUGNNNNNNNNNNNNNNNNNNNNNNNNNNNNNNNNNNNNNNNNNNNNNNNNNNNNNNNNNNNNNNNNNNNNNNNNNNNNNNNNNNNNNNNNNNNNNNNNNNNNNNNNNNNNNNNNNNNNNUUUUGUUUUGUUUUGUUUUGUUUUGUUUUGUUUGGUAAACUCUACACCCAACAUAGGGCUUGAGCUCACAACUCCGAGAUCAAGAGUUACAUGCUCCCCCAAAUGAGUCAGCCAGUUACCCUCUUAGUAGUUAUUUUUAAAAUAAUCUGGCAGGGGGGCGCCUGGGUGGCUCAGUCGGUUAAGCGUCUGACUUCAGCUCACAGUCCGUGAGUUCAAGCCCCGCAUUGGGCUCUGUGCUGACAGCUCAGAGCCUGGAGCCUGCUUCAGAUUCUGUGUCUCCCUCUCUUUCUGCCCCUCCCCUGCUCAUGCUCUGCCUCUGUCUCAAAAAUAAAUAAAAACAUUAAAAAAAAUAGUCUGGCAGGACCUAGAGACAGAGGAAUGUAGGUGUGUUCAGGUCUCAGCAUGGUCUAAUGAGGAUGAUGUAUUAACAUUGUGCUUCUCAAAAUUUAAUAGACCAAUAAUUUCCUUGAAGGCUUACACAAAAUGCAGAUUCCCAAGUUUUUCUCCAGAAGAUACUGAUUCGUUGGGUCUAUGGUGGGGCCUAGACAUUCUGACAUGUUCAAGAAGUUCCAGUAGUGAUUCUGAUGCAAAUCAUCCAUGAACUCACAAUUGGAGGAACAAUGGUUCAUACUACAUCAAUGAUUUGCUACCUGUUCAUUCAAUAGUCUAAAAAAUUAUGGAAGCUCCAAGUGAAAUUAUUUUUCUUUACAAACCAUAUAGUUUGACCUCCUUAUAUCAAUAACAGAUGUUUAGGAAAAAGAAUCCUUCUGUUUUAAUUUUCUUACUUCUUCAUUUAUUGAAAGUGUUAAGGACAGGCCAGGAUAGGGGUAGGAAAUUCAAACCUUAUAUUGUCAUUUCUUUCUUAAAUAUUCGAUUGUAAGUAAAGAAAGUAAUUUGUAAAAAUAAUUCUAGCAGAAAGACUUAGGUUUUGCCCAGAAAUAAACAGUGAGGAGAAAAUAAAAGGUAACCAGGAUUCUUGUACUUUGACAUUUUUCUUGAGUGGCACAAUCUAUUCUACAUUGAAUAAAACAACAGAAAGAAACUUCCAUUUGCCAUACAAGUAUAGAAUACUGGGGUUGAAGGAGAGUGUUCAUUCCUUAUUUUGAUUCAGAAAUGUAACUUCUUGAAUAUGUCAUAUGGGAAAGACACAUACUAAAUAGAAAACGCCUUACUUUGUUCACACAAGGGUUCAGGAUGCUUCAUGGCAAAUGAGAUAGGUGUGGGAAAUGCUUCUGUUAGCCUACUUUAUAGUGACUGGAUAAAUAAGUGGAAAAAAAGAAAAUGGCAUAGGGCCCAUAAAAAUGCAAAAUACGUUGGAAAUGGAAGAUUGUAAGUUAAAAGUUGUGGGUUUUUUUCUUAAUCUUGAAGUGAACAUAUACUUUUAGUAUCAGGGUUAGGCAACUCAACUAAAAAUAAAAAUCAUCAUAAAGAAAAUAAAUUAAUGAAAUGUGCAUAUAGGAAUAUAAAAAUUGAGAAAAUAAAAAGUAGGUUUGCAAGGCACUACUAUGCAUUUAGAGGAUUUAGGUUUUUGUGAUAACUUAGUAUUGAUUAAGUCACACUGAUUUAUACAUUUUUUAUGUAGAAUAAAACAUGAUUUCACACUGAAGUAAGCAAAAAAAGAUUGGUUAGAAGUUUUGCACUUGGAAAUGUAGAUCCAUGAAAAAUGUCUUGUGGUACAGAUCAAUGGUAAUUUUAGGAAAUGAAACCGGGAUGAUAUUACAUAGAGCCCUAAGUGACUAGAAACCUAUAUUUCAAAAGUUCUUUGAAGUUUUACAACAUUCUUCAUUUCUUAAUGUUCUUUUCUCUGAUGAAAUAAAUCAUUUUUAGAUUAUGUUGGUGAUUUUUUGGCAAGAGGAAUGAAGAUCUUUUUAUUUCAUGUGUACAGUAAAGAAAAUUAUUUUGUUUCUAGUAGUAGAACCAAAUCUUCCACUUUGUUUAAUUUUGGGAAGUGAAAAUGAAAUAGUACUGAUAAGAUCCGUGAGGCUAGCAGUUAAAGAGAAUGUCAGUUAACUACUAGCAGGAUCAUUAUGAUCACAAAUCCACUUAAGAGUUCAAAUUAGAGCUGUCUUAGUUUUAAAUAAGUUCUUUUCCUACUACACAAACCUAAAGACACUUGGAAAAACCCACUAGCAGAUUUAGUCAUUUAACCGCACCCUUAAUUACAUACUUCAUUUCUCCUUAGAAUUGAAUGGGAGCUACUACAUCUCACAAGGCAAUGUGCAACUCAGUUGUCAGUAAAUAAUUUAACAAGAUUUGAAAGAGAUUUACAAUGAUUUGCUUAAAAGAUCUGGUCAGUUAAUAUCAAAUGCAUUUUAGCAAAUGUAAAUUUGGAGUAAGCUAAAUAUAGAAAAGAGAACCGCUCGCUGAAUGAACGUUGUAGAGGUAGCAUGCAAAGAACCACUGAGCUAAACUGAAGAAUACAAUUAAACAUACUUCUGAUGACAAUCAUGGCAUUACAUCUACCAACAUGAGACUCAGUCUAAACUGACCUUCAGCUGUAUCUGUAGGGGUGCUACCUGCAUGCCCAGUCAUGAUCCUUCCAUUAUGGAUCUACAGAACUUUUGGUGAAAGUGAUCUUUCCUUCAUAACUGCUGCUCCCCACGUAUGUCCGCUGGCAGGAAAAUUUGAUAGGUUUUGUCAGGUAGAUGACUGAAAUGAAUUGGAUCACCACACAAAAUGGGCAUUGUUAGACUUUAUGGAGCGUACAGGAGUCCACCAUAGGUUUGAAAAACUGCCACCCAACCUUGCUGCUGCAUCCUUGAUAAAACCAGAGGCCACAGACUGGCCGCUGGAUUAGGAGUGCUACAAGUUUACACAGUGCAAAAUACCCCCUGGUUACUAGUAGCACACGUUCCAGAUCAUUUAAGAAUAGGGUGAAGAAGGAAACUAUAAAAGUGGAAUGAUUUGCAUUGGUAAAUAUUUCGUGAAUUGAAUAAAAUCUUUAAUUAUCGGUGCCAGAAUUAUCUAGUGAACCCUAAAAGGAAUUUCACUCAAAUACUCUUUAGAACUCUGAUUUUGAAGCCUAUUAGAUAAGCAACAAAAAUAACUGCUCAUGUUGUAUAAAAGUUUUUUCACAUAUAUUGGGUUUGGCAAAAUUCCAAAUGUGUUUUUGAAGCUCUUUCCCCUUCCAUUUUCCAGUUUAUGUGCAUUUUAUAGUUCAUUUAAUCCUAACUCAUGUAUAAGUUAUGAAAGCAUUAUUUCAUAAAAACCUUGAUUUACAAAUAGAAUAAUAUUUCUUUACAUUCUUAUUUGUGUAUUUCUGUUUUAUAUAUAUUUACUACAGAGAAAUGUAAGCUACCAAUGUUUUAAAUUUGGCUUAACCUUUAUAAAGACUUACAAAGCAGUAAAUUACUGUUUAUUCAGUAUCUCAACAACCACAUAACUUGACAGAUCAAUAGUUUUGGGGACAUUCUUUCAUAAGAAAGUAAAAAUGCUGAUAGAGCAACAUUUUUUUUUCUGAUUUUCAUUGUCAGUAUGGAUUCCGACACUAUCUAAAGCCUUCUAAUAGAAGAAAUAGCAGUUAAUUAAUAGUUAUGAUUAGUUUCCUUGAUUGCAAGUUCAAAAUCCUAAAGUAGUUUAUUGGCUUAUUUUUUUCAUUCAUUUACAGGAAAUAUAAAUUAACCAAAGAUACACGGAUCAAUCGGAUAUGGUUUCUGGCUUUGAAAAAAAACAUAUGAGCAAGGGAAAUGGAUAUAUGUAACUAAGACUAAUAACACAUUCCAAGAAGUUAUUAGAUAAAGAAAGUUAUUCAAAGGAAAAUUAAACUGUGGUUUAAUUUAAAAGUUUAGUAUCUUAACCAUCCUAGAUGAAUGGAAAUUAACUUGAAUGGAAAUUAACUUGGAAGUUAAUAGUUUCUCCAUAUAAUGGAAAACAACAAAUAUUUGUGACAAAACUCAAAUAUAUUGUAAGCAAAAGAGAUUUUAAAAAAUUAGAAUAGCUUAAUACAAAUAUCAUUAUAAUAGAGGUAUUUUCUUUGAAAAUUUCUAUUUCUCAUGGAAAUUAUGCAGACUCAUUAAAUAAUAUUAAAUUAUUACAUCGAUCAAUAUUUCAGGUCAUGACCCCUGGAUUUAAGAAAUUCUUCAAGACAACAUCAAAUAUGAUCCGGGGGAAAAUGUGAUUUGAGUCUGGAGACAAUUGUGUAUGUAAGUAUUGGAAAAUUAGAUUUUCUCAUGGUAAAAUUUAAUAAAAACUAAAAUAUCAACUCAUUAAUUACUAUAUUGACAAAACUUUUAUUCAUUGUUUUCCUUGUUACAACAUUUUUUUAAAAUAUCUAAAAUUAAUAUAAUGCCUCCUCAUUUUUAGCUAUUUUUUUAAGAAGAUCAACUAAUAAUAAAAACCCAGUAUAUCUGAUAGAAGAGAAACGUUAUUUGGAAGAUUACUACAAUUAAAAAGAAAAGCUGUCUACGUGAGUCAUUGGUAAGGGCAAGCAAUGACAUAGAUUCAAGUUGCUAGAAAUUGGUGUGCUUUUGUUGCAUGUGAUAAUAAAAAUAAUAAUUUAAUAUGUGGAAAAACUUUUUAUAAUUCUUACUUUACCAUUGGACCUAUAAUAAAAAUCAUGACAAGGUUCUUAACAAAAUUAAGUAUUAGUUCAUAGCUUUCUGGCAAAUAUCUAUUGAUUGGAUUUUUUAAAUCUCUGUUGAUAAAUACUUCAGAUACAUUCACUUAAAUAAAUAUUGUAUUAUGACUAUAUCAUGAUAAUUUUUAUCUCAUAAAAGCACUGUCAAAGUAGGUUGCUCAUGGACCUUACAGUGAGUAAGCAAUCCCAGCAAUGUUUGUCUCUAAGAAUUAAGAUGUUAGGGGGUGUUGUUUUAGAGUCCAUUUUCAUUAGCUCAGGAUUGUAUCUACCAUUAGAAAAAUUUCACAGAAAUACUUUAUGUAGUAUUGUCCAUUUCCUGUAACCUUAUUUUAAUAUAGAUAAUUUAGGAAUAUUUUAGUUCCCAAUUAAAGGAAAAAUAAUUUCUAUUAAAUUAUAAGGCCAUUUUUGUGAUGUAUGGUUGUUGAGUCUCAAGAAAUUGGCCUGAGGAAAGUUUUUCCCCUUAAAUUAUUGAAGAGUCAGAAAAUUAAAAAUGAGGUUAAUAUAUAUAGGAGAUAAAAGUGAGCUUUAUGGUAAAAUAUGCUAUCAAAAUUUGUGCCUUUAUGCUCUUGUGAAAUUCUUUGUCUUGAUACUUUAAUUAUUUUAUUCCAAUUUUGGUAAAAGCAAAGAAAGUAAGAUGUUUUCUAAUUACUUAAAUUACUUAUUAUAUGGUUUUAAAAAAAUUACCACUGAGUACCAUAUAAAUUUAUUUUAUAAAUAUUGAUUAAUUAUAUUUCUUUCAUUUUUAUUUGCAGUUUGAUUUAUAUUGUACAGCAUAUUUAAUUUUGGCUUCAAUGAUGGAGAAAAAAUGUAUCCUGUAUUUUCUGUUUAUCUUGCCUUUUUUUAUGGUAAGGAUAAAUUCCUCUAAUAUAUCUCUCUAUUUAUGAUUAUUUAUUUUGACUUCCAAUAAACCUAUAAUUAAUAAACAUUAAUAACAACAAAAUGACAUACAGUUAUUUGAUGCAUAAAUUAAGUACAUUAUUAAUCAACAGAGCAAUGCUUUAUUUUCUUUCAGUGUAUCCUUUUAGGCUUUAAUUCACUAGGAGGCACUAUAGGAUGGUUGGGCAGUGAGGUGGGAGUGGGAUGUUAAAGUGAGGAAGGUCCAUGAUAAAAAUGUAAAAGAUACCAGAGGAAGGUAAUCGUCAGAGUUUGAAAGAAAAAUGAAAUGGCUCUAUACUACAGUCAUAUAUAUUAAAUAAAAUACUUUCAACCAGACCUGUUGAGUAUGUGUUAGAUCUGUUUAAAAGUAGAUUCCAACCUGUUGGUUUUUCUCCCAUUCUGCCAACUGAUUGAUUUACAUUAACUGAAACCAUGCACUGUUUUAUGUUUUAAUUUUUUAAUGUUUUAUUUUUGAGUGAGAGAGAGAGAGAGAGAGCGAGCAUGAGUGGGGGAGGGGCAGAGUGAGAGGGGGACACAGAAUAGGAAGCAGGCUCUAGGCUCUGAGCCCAACAUGGGGCUCAAACCCACCAACAGUGAGAUCAUGACCUGAGCUGAGGUCAGAUGCUUAACCGACUGAGUCACCCAGGCACCCCAACCACGCACUGUUUUCAAUCAAUUUCCUUAUCCAUUCAUUCAAAUGAGUAUGAAGUGCCUGUUUUCUGAUGGACUUUGAUGCUAAAUUUGGGGCAGUUGUAUAUGUGAAUGUGAGCACUCAUGUGUGCCCUUGCACACAGCUGCGGGGAAGGUGAGACUGGAGGUGGAGGGUAGACUAAGGAUGACUACAAAUCUAUUGCCCUACCGGAGGGGCCAUAUUCCUUACACACACAAUUGGAUGUUUAUUUACAGAAAUAUUUUGUUCACGUUUUUCUCUCUCCCACAUUAAAACAGGGACUGUACUCUUAUCUCACUUAUAUCUAUAUAUAUAUUAGAAACCGACAGAUGUAAUCUCAUCUGAUUCUGUGCCAGCACAUAAAUUUCCUGUGGUGUUUUCAAGCAAACCCCAAAAGAGGAUUUAAACAAAGAAACUCAAGAAAAAUAUAGAAAACCUAAAUGGGAAAAAAAAAAAAGCCUACAUUCCUAUCAGCAUUUGUAUUUGAAAACAUUCUCCAGUCUAGGAGCAGUCCAAAUCCUACACUUCUUAGAUGUUAUCUUAGGUAAAUAGCCUAGAAUUCAAGAAGCAGGACUCCUGUUUCUUCAGCUCCCUCCCUGCACUGAGCGUGCCAAUGAACUGCACAGGCCAACUCUGGUUGCCUGCAGGUAAUUCUGUAUCAGAUUACCAAUCUGAUUACUGUAAUUUAAGGAAUUGUGACCAUUUUUCUUGAAUUCAUUCAGAUAGUGCAAAGCUGUGUUUUUAAGAAUAAAAAUGAUAUUGAUUUUAUGCAAUUCUAUAAACUUCCUGAGAACAGGAGAAAAAUACUAAUUUUCUUAAUGCUGUAAAUUUACAUUUAUUGCUUGUGCAGCACAAAUGCUGCACAAAUCUUUAUUAGGAAAUUAAAACUAACCAAAGAACGAGAGAAUAAAUGUUAAAUGGUGCUCAGGUGAUAGUGAGGCUUGAGUGGUACCACACACUGAGGGAAUGUAACUACUUAGACUUUGGUAAAUAUGAAUUCGGGCUAGAGAACAGAGAAUCGAGUAUAAGGGAACAAAAUAAGAGUAGAAAAUUAAUGCUUAUGAAUGAUAAUUAAAGGAAAUAAUGCAAAAGUGAAGAAGAAGUAAGGUUGAGGGAGGUUAUACAGGCUUCAUAUUGCAAAACAGUAACAAAAAGUCAUGCAGAUAUUAAAAUGGAAGUGAAACUUAAAUAGUACUACUAAAUUGGAAGAUCUUAAAUAUAUACCUUGUCCAAAACGUUUAUUGAUGUACAUACAGUAAAAAUUCUAUUUACCAAUGACAUAAAUGAACUUCUCAAUAUUUUGAUGAUCAAAAUUUGAUAAUAAAAAUGGCCAACAGUUUUGAAUAUUUACCAUGUGUCAAAUACUUCCCGUUAUUUUUUUUUUUAAGUUUAUUUUGAGAAAGAGAGAAUGCAUGUGUCAGAGCAGAGGAAGGGCAGAGAAAGAGAGGGAGAGAAUCCCAAGCAGGCUCCAUGUUGUCCGUACAGAGCCCAUAGCGGAGCUCAAACUCAUGAACCCAUGAGAUCUUGACCUCAGUUCAAAUUGAGAGUCAGCAUUUAACUGACUGAGCCACCCAGGCGCCCCAUUUCCCUCUGUUAUCUUGAUACUAUUUUAUCCCAUUAAAAUUUUUUUUAUUCCAUUUUACAAUAAGAAAGCAGAGCCUUAGGGAACUUAAAUACCUUGCCCAUAUUCACAGAGCAGGUGAAAAAGUAGAGGUGGAUUUUCAAUACAACUCUGUCUGUAUUCCAGAGCUCACGUCCUAGAGCCAGAUCCUAUAGGCUUCUGAGAACCGACUAUAGCCUGUUUCCCAGAGCUGCCAUUUACAGCUACUUGAGGUCACUUGAAAUUAAACAUGGUGGGGACAUUUAAACCAUGAAAAUUAGCAAACGGUUCAAAUCAGGGAUUUUCCCCCCAGAACCAGUUAACCAUGUAGCAUAUCACUGCAGCUACUCUUUUUCCACUGUGACAGACUGCCUCUGACAGACAUUCUCACAAUUCUGAUUUUUUUUUUUAAAUCCCUUAGAUUCUUGACAUAGCAGAAUCAGAAGAGAACAUUGAUGACUUAAAUGAGUUCGGUGUCUAUACUAGAAAUAAAAUCAUGACAGCUCAGUAUGAAUGUUACCAAAAAAUUAUGCAAGACCCUAUUCAACAAACAGAAGGUAAACAUGACUAUUUAAUUUUUAAAUGCCUUUGAUACCCUUUUAAAAGAAAACUACUCCAUUAUAUCAUUUAUGGGUUUCUUAGGUCCAUUGUUAAAAAUGGGUUAGUUAGCUUUCCUGUUACAUGUGCAUUCUUACUUAUGAAGAAAUUUAUGACAUAAUUUAUCUUGCUCCUUUUUAAAAAAUUCUAAUUCAAACUAUGUGCAACAGGAAUAUUUUUAGUAAUGUUUUUUAUGGUACAAAGAUAUUUAAAAUAUCAAAUGUGUGUCUUUAAUUAAAUCAGUGACUUGAUCUUCAGCUUAUGUAAUUUGUAUUUCUCUUUCACAAGCUGCUUGAUAGGAGCUUGCAUAAUAAAUUAUAAUUUUUUUGCACAACACGUGCUUUGUAUAAUACAUUUGGUCUAAGUGCUUCUGUUUCUAUUAAGAUAUUCUUUAGAUACUUUUAUAACAUUAUUGAAGUCCUGCUAAGUGCCAGAUAUUUGCCUGGAUUCUGAAGAUACAAAGAUGAGUAGCACAAUUAGAGUUGCUAGAUUUAGCAAAAACAAAAUAAAAAAUCAAGACCAAAACCAGGCCCUGUAUUUUUAUCUGGCACAGGUAUAUCUUCAAAAUGUAAAACGUGAAACUCACAAUGAAACAUAGCAAAAUGUAAAGACUUUAGAUAUUUCUUUUUUUUAAUUUUUUUUAAUGUUUAUAUUUACUUUUGAGACAGAGGGAGACAGAGCAUGAGCGGGGGAGGGGCAAAGAGAGAGGGAGGCAGAAUCCAAAGCAGGCUCCAGGCUCUCAGCUGUCAGCACAGACCCUGAUUCGGGGCUAGAACUCAACCGCGAGAUCAUGACCUGAGUUGAAGUCAGACGCACUGACUGAGCCAUCCAGGCGCCCCUAGACUUUAGAUAUUUUUAAAUUAUCAGUGGAUACAAAGAUCUUUACAUUUUUGGAAAAAUAUUUGAUGGUAUUAUAAUGUUUCUUAUAUAAAUGAAAUGUUGACAGUAGGUUAUUAUUAGUAUUUGUAACUGACAAAAUGAACUUGCUUGUGAGAAAGAGAAAAAAGUGAUUUUCCCACAUUGGUCAACUUUUAGAACUUUUAGAAUUGUAAUGAACAAUUCUUAAUGAAAAAUCUAAUGGAACAAUAUAAUUUGAUAAUCUUUGGAGAAGUAUUUAGAUAGACCUAUCCAAACAUUUUUUUAACGAGAUAUUUAUUCAGUUAAAAAUAUCUUGGAUAUAUACCAGACACUGACAAACUAUCUGAUAUUAUGUCACUAGGAGUUAAAUUAUCCAGUACACAAACUGCAUACAAAUUCUGUUAACUUAUCUGACUUAUCACUUUAUUCCACUAAACUCCAAGUUUCAAGUUUCAAAUUAUUGAAUUAACCCCUUCCAAAUCAUGUAGAUAUAUGUAAAAGUAGUCUUCGAAUCUCAUUGUUGAACAAUAGGAAUAUCUUUGAGUGUUUCAUAAUAAAAUAAUUUUGUGAUAAAAUAAUUUUAGAAUCACUGUGUAAUAAAUCCUCCUCUUGGAGCUUCAUAAUGCACUUUGUAAUUUUAAAUACUCUAGCAAGUCUUGCAAGAAAGAACUGUCUUCAUUUCAACUUUAUGCUUCCCAAAUCUUUUGACCACAGAAACUCUUUUAAUGGAAUACCUACUCCUGUCUCACUCAAAUGCCAUACAACACAUGUGAAAAAUUCUGCCCUGUGUAAUCUAUCAUACUGCCAGUGUUAUCAUUAAUUAGAUGGGAUCUUUUGGACAGGUGAUAGAAUCUGUUCGAGAUGCUUUCUAUCAGGGAAUUCUUCUCUGUUAGGCCACAAAAUGCAUUUUAUUUAGUAAUAUAUGAAUGUAGACUAUUUAAAUAAGUGAAAACCACAGGAGAAAGAAACAGAGAUGAAAUGAGUUAUUUUUUAAUAGAAUUUAAUAGAAUUACUUACUUAAUAAUUUAAUAGAAUUACUUACACUUUCAGGCCAGUAGAAUUUUUUUCUACCUCGAUGAAGAUUAGAUUGAGUCUGAGAUUAUGGCACAAAUCUGUUAAAAAAUAAUAAACAUCUCAUGAAACAUUUGGGCUUCUAUCUAUGAGUACUUGCCCGACUAGGUGAAAAAUUAUUUUCUUUAAUUAUAGACUGUUAUAAGAUUGGACUAUUGGUCAUUUUAUUUCUCCAUCCCUUUUUUAAAAAAAACUUAUAUUUGUUCAUGUAAGAGGAUCUUUCUCUUCAGUUUACUAAAAGGAAAAUAUGAGAAUGUUUACAUUCUACUCCAUUUGAAAUGUGAAGGAAGGGAAGUACCAAAUUGUAUUUGGUAGAGGGGCCUGAAUAUCUGUUAGGGUCAAUACUGUGAAAUAGGAAGUGUUAGGGUGUUCAUUUGUUUAUCUCAGAAAAUACUAAAACCUUGCCCUAAGAACACAUUUUCCAAUUUCUCAUACUUUUACAAAGUUUUAAGUAUAGGGACACUAAGUAACUACUACCUUUAUGGUUAAGGACAGCCAUCAAAGACCACUUGAUUUAUUGAAUGAAUAGCCACCUUUGAGAACUGGAAUUAAAUCUAAACUCUUCAGUACACUUUUAAGGAUAUUUCUAAAUUUAAUUUGGCAAUAAACCCAAUAAUGACUUGAUGAAAAACUUACCAGCUAUGGAUUUUAUAUGGUCUUCAUUUGCAGUUGGUAGUAUGUAUUUCAUGUCAGUAUUAGCCCAUCAGUAAGACUUAUGUUUUCAUGUAUAACUAAAGGGAUUAUUAAUCACUGAUUUUUAUUCUUCUCUUAAGGUAUUUACUGUAACAGAACCUGGGAUGGGUGGUUAUGCUGGAAUGAUGUUGCCGCAGGAACCGAAUCAAUGCAGCACUGCCCUGAUUACUUUCAGGACUUUGAUCCAUCAGGUAGAAACAGAGAUUUAUAUACAGAUCCACUUGACAUUAAAUAAACUCUAAAUUAAUCGCAUUAAUGUUUUCUUCUUUUCUUUUUAAUUAAAGAAAAAGUUACAAAGAUCUGUGACCAAGAUGGAAACUGGUUUAGACAUCCAGAGAGCAACAGGACAUGGACAAAUUAUACUCAGUGUAAUCUUAACACACACGAGAAAGUGAAGGUAUGGAAUAAUUAUGAACUCAAAUGUAAAUAACAUGAUCUACUUACAAAGUUAGUUACUGAUAGGGUAUUGGAGAAAAUUUAGCUAGUGUUCCAUUGUGUUGUAAAGCCUUUUUAUAAGCAAUGGAGAAAAAUCUUUGUGGAAAUAAUUAUUCAUUCUGUCAUUACACAAAGGAAGCAAUCCUGCUAGGUAAUAGUGUAUUUACAAGUCAAUGUGUUGGUAUAGGAGUUUCAAAUUUCCCAAAGAAAACAUAUUUUAAAAGGGAAAGAAAAGGGAACAUAUUCAUUGGUAUUGGAAUUUCUAGAACUAAGUUCAGGAAUUGUGCUCAAGUAAACAAAGUAAGUCCAAAAGGGUGUACACAACUCUAUCUGUCCCUCAACAGAAGGCUGUCCUGACUGGCUGCUAGGUUACUCACUCACAUUCCCACUUUUAACACAAUACAUUAAAGUCAAGGUUAGUCACAGUUUGUCACAACGAUUAAGCUUUGAUAGAAAGUGCCUGAAUACAUUUGCACAGGUGUGAAUAUACAGGCAGUUUGUCAGUGAUUGGAACAGAGUCCUGAUUUCUUGUUCCUAUUCUUUACCAGCCAUAUGACCUCAGGCAAGCUUAUAACCUCUCUCUGCCUCAGUUUCCUUGUAUAUAAAAUGAAGAUAACAAUAAACCUAGCCUCAAGGUUUUCGUAAGGAUUGACUUAAUACAAGGAAAAUUCUUAGAAAACUCAUAGGUAUAUAGUAAGCAUUUGAUAAAUGUCAGCUAUCACUAUACUUAUAAAUUGUGUUCUUUGCUUAUUCAGAGAAGAUUUUAAAGAGAAGUAUAAAAAUAUACAAUAAAAUGGUAAGUUACAAAUAGAUUACAGGAAAAUAAAAAAACAAAGAGGAAGAGUGAAACCAUGUGAGAAAACAUAUUUGUAUAGAUUAGAGGCUCCUAUAAUUGCUAUAUUGAGAUUAGUCUUGGGGCUUCAAAUUUGUUAAAGGAAAAAGAAAAACCCAGUAGGAAAGAAAGCCUUAUCUAAAAUAAACAAAAAUAAUUAAUAGCAUUUAACAUUCACAAAGUGAUAGAGUAAAAACUGUCAAUGUCCUUCAAAACACAAAAUGCUACUUUAAAGUAUUACAAAACCUAGAUCAAUAAAAUUAUUCCUUCCUAGGUUUAAUAUAUGAUUUCUAAUUUUCUACAUUAAGAGGACAUACAAUUUAUAAAUGUUGAUGUCACUUGAUAAAUUUGCACAGAUACUCUUUAUUCCAGAUUUAUUUAAGUAUCUAUCUAUUGGUUUGUAAGCUAAAUGGCAAUGCGAGUAGAACACAUAUUUUUAGAAAUAUAAUUUGUUCUAUUGAUUUGAGCUUAUACACAUGUGGGAUUAUAGUAUUGAUAGGAAUCUUAAUUUUUUUUUACUCAUACCAAUGUAGACUGCACUGAAUUUGUUUUACCUGACUAUAAUUGGACAUGGAUUAUCUAUUGCAUCACUGCUUAUCUCACUUGGCAUAUUCUUUUAUUUCAAGUAAGUACAUGUAAAAUAUUUUUUAAUUUAUCAAUUGUCUUUGGUGAAUGCAGUGCCUUGUGCAUGUUUAUGUCAUGUGCUGAUAAAAUAUAGGAACAGAUGAUUUAUAAUGUUUAAAAUAAAUUGAACAUUUAGAAUAAUCUGAAAUAUAUUGAUUUUACCUUGACUUUAUAAAAUGUAUAGAGCAGAGAUUGAUGAAAUAUCUGAAGCCUAAGUAUGAAGUCAUGUGGAAAGAAGAGAGCCAAAAUCAAUAUGUAAAUGUAUCUGUAUUUGUUUUGGAAACUAUCAAAUAUUAUAGAACUUAUUAACUGAAUUUUCAACUUCUAGGUCAAUGUUAGUGUCAGUAUACAUGGUACAUUACAGAAACCAAUGGGAAUGUGGCAAUGGGAAUAAUACAUAUUAUCUAAUAAUAAUAAUAACCUAAAUAUAUUAUGGUUCGGUUAUUUUUCCUUGUUUUUUGGGGAGACUCAUCAUUAAUAUAGGUAGAUUGCAGUUUGAAUUUUACUUGAAAUUUACUUCUUUUUUGGGGAAGGAGAGUCAACUCCAAUUUCUUGAUUUAGACAAUCAACAAAUGAUUUUUUUAAUUGAUAGGAAAGUAAAUAUCAAAAUUUGCAUGCAGUAUUUUAUGCGUUAAAAUGGUUUAAUGGUUUUCAUAACUUGAUCACCACCAGUAAUUAUAGAAUGCAGUAUGGAGAGUGAGUAGCUGUAUUUCAUGGUAGCUUUAUCACCAUUGUCAUUAUCUUCCUCUUUCUCCUCCAACAAUUGUCUUGGAGCAUUAGCAGCUUCAGAAUCAGCUAGAGUAGUAGCAUACCACAAUAAUCCAAAUCUGGAAAUUAUCAAGCCCCUGGAUGUACCAGAGCACCAGCUUUUGGCCCACAGUCCAUCAAAUAUUCGGAGUGCAUCAAAGAAUAUACAAACCAACCAACCAUUGUCUCUCAUGGGUUCAAAAUCACAGGAUGUAGAGAUUGCAUCAGAACUGUACUAGUAUUUUUGGAAACCUGCACCUCUUUAAAAAUCUUCAAGAUUAGUUACUUUGAGGAAUCCACAUGGAAACUUUUUAAUGGCACUUUUAAUUUAUAACAUCAUCUAGGCACGAUUAGAAACUGACUUUAAAAAACUCCACUCUGAAUAAAGCUAAUUAAGCAUUAAUUAAAAGUCAGUUGAAAGGAAUUUUUAUCCUAAAAUAUGGAAAACACUUCUUAAAGAAUUAUUUUGCAACAAGUUACCAAAAGGUUUUUGAGAAAACCAACUGCCAGUUCUCAAUGCAUUUGUAAUUAGUUAUGUCAUAUCAGAUGCUUACAGCUUAUUAAAACUUCAUGUCUUUACUCAUAUAUACUCUUAGUUUACACAACAUUUUUUAAAUGAAUACUAUCUUUGGAGUAGAAAAAACUUUGUUAUGAUUGUAUAAUAGAUUAAAAAUAUCUCUUCUAAAAAUAGAAAAUAAACCAUUUUCCAAAGUGAUAAUUUUAGAGUCCUCUGGUCCAUAGUGAUAUAUAAUUUAUGCUAAUUGACAAAGUGAAGCAAUGUUGCUGAUGCUAACAAACUUAUUGGUAAAAUAUGGUAAUAAAUCUUGGUUAAUAUUUAGUGAAUUUAAAACACAAAAUAGGGGUGCCUGGGUGCCUCAGUUGGUUGAGCUUCCGACUUUGGCACAGGUCAUGAUCUCACAGUUCAUGGGUUCAAGCCCCACAUCAGGCUCUGUGCUCACCGCUUGCUCAGAGCCCAGAGCCUGCUUCAGAUUCUGUGUCUCCUUCUCUCUCUGCCCCUCGCCCAUGCAUGCUUUGUCUCACUCUGUUUCUCAAAAAUAAAUAAAUGUAAAAAAAAAACACAAAAUAAAAUUAAAAUUUCAAAUUCUCAUUUAGUAUAAUAAAAUGACUAAAUAGUUUCACAAAAAUAUAGUUCAUAUCCUUUCUAAUUCUAAAGGCAAAUCUUUACAAUUUAAAAAUACUACAUUUUAAAAUCUGACUGUCUUGGCUCUUGAAACUAAAUGAUACGGCUAAUUGCCAUUCAGUUUAUGCAGUACUCCUAGAACUCAGAUUUUUAGUUCACGAAAAUUACGUAUCUACCACACCAUAACAUACCAACACAUGGAAAGGAUUAAUUUAAAUAUAACUAGUGGUGGGGUGCCUGGGUGGCUCCGUGGACCCUUAAGCGCCCAACUUUGGCUCAGGUCAUGAUCUCGCAGUUCAUGAUUUUGAGCCCCACAUGCGGCUCUGUGCUGACAGCUCAGAGCCUGGAGCCUGCUUCAGAUUCUGUGUCUCCUUCUCUCUCUCUGCCCCUCCCCCACUUGCAAUCUCUCUCUCUCUCUCUCUCUCUCUCUCUCUCUCUCAAAAAUAAAUAAGCAUUAAAAAAAAAUUUAAUGUAACUAGGGGCACCUGGGUGGCUCAGUUGGUUAAGCCUCCAACUCUUGGUUUCAGCUCAGGUUAUGACCUCAUGGUUUCAUGAGUUCAAGCUCCACAUCAGGCUCUGUGCUGACCUCAUGGAGUGUGCUUGGAAUUUUCUCUCUCCAUCUCUCUCUGCCUCUCCCCCACUCACGCUGUCUCUGCCUCUCAAAAGUAAAUAAACUUAAAAAAAUUUUUAAAGUAACUAAUAUUAGCCAAGUUUCUUUUUUUUUAACAAAAAACUUAACAACUAUGACUGAAUAUAAAGGAGGUCAGCCUCUAUCCUGAAGGCAUAAAAUAGGAAUCAUAAGAGCUAUUUAAGACUGUCUUACAAAUCUUGGGGGAAAAAGGUAUGACUGUUAAAUAUUUUUAACCUUAGGAAAAAGAAUUCAUUCUUAAUUUAAAAAAACUUGAGGUGCUCUGGUGGCUCAGUCAGUGAAGAGUCCUACUCUUGAUUUCUGCUCAGGUCAUGAUCUCGCCAUUUGUGAGUUGGAGCCCCAUGUUGGCUCUGUGCUGAGCAUGGGGCCUGCUUGGGAUUCUCUCUUUCCCUCUCCCUCUGGCCCUCACACAAGUGCAUGCACUCUUUCUCUCUCUCAAAAAUAAAUAAACUAAAAAAUAUGAAUUUUUAAUUUUUUUAUUAAAGUUUAUUGAUUUUGAGAAAGAGAGAGGGAGAACAGGCUGAGAGAGCAGGACAGAGGAUCUGAAGCAGACUUUGCACUGAUAGCAGAGAGCCCCAUGCAGGGCUUGAACUCAUGAACCAUGAGAUCAUGAUCUGAGCUGAAGUGGUGGGACUGAGCCACCCAGGGACCCCCAAAAUAUGUAUUUUUAUUUUUUAUUUAUUUAUUUAUUUAUUUAUUUAUUUAUUUAUUUAUUUAUUUAUUUUUUACGUUUAUUUAUUUUUGAGACAGAGAGAGACAGAGCAUGAACGGGGGAGGGGCAGAGAGAGAGGGAGACACAGAAUCGGAAGCCGGCUCCAGGCUCUGAGCCAUCAGCCCAGAGCCCGACGCGGGGCCCGAACUCACGGACCGCGAGAUCGUGACCUGAGCUGAAGUCGGACGCUCAACCGACUGAGCCACCCAGGCGCCCCAAAAUAUGUAUUUUUAAAACAAACUAUAAUCUUGAGAAACAAGAUUUGCACUUAAAUUUGCAUUUUUUUAAAAAAUAAAAAAAAAAAUUAAGCAUGUUACUAAUUCUUAAACAAAAGAAUAUAUAAACCUGUAAUUUUAAUAUCCUAUUGAGCAAUUUCUUAGAUUUUUGUAGUUUUAUUUCAUAUUAAUUUGUUUUUACAGUUUUAGUUGCAAAGUAUUUUAACUAUUUUUAUAAUUUAGCAUUAUAUAAUUCUUUCCAUGUCCCUAAAGAGUUUUUAAAACUCUUCAGUUUAUUAUUUAGUUAUUUACUUGGCUAAAUAAUAUUCCAUUGUGUAAGCUGACAAAAGUUUAUUAAAUUGUCCCAUGUUUUAAUUUUUUUUUUUAACGUUUAUUUAUUUUUGAGACAGAGACAGAGCAUGAACAGGGGAGGGGCAGAGAGAGAGGGAGACACAGAAUCUGAAACAGGCUCCAGGCUCUGAGCUGUCAGCACAGAGCCCGAUGCGGGGCUUGAACUCACGGACCGUGAGAUCAUGACCUGAGCCGAAGUCCGACGCUUAACCGACCAAGCCACCCAGGAGCCCCUGAUUGUCCCAUGUUUUAAAUAGUAACAUUACUUCCAGUUUUUCCUGUUAAUAAAAAACACUGUAACAGACAUUUUCAGCCAUAACUUUUCCCAUAUUUGGCACUAUUUUUUUAGGCUACAUUCCCAGAGACUUGGGAUUUUUUUGGUCAAAGAGUAGAUAUCUUUUUAUGGCUCUUCAAAUACAUCAUCUCAAAAGUAUCUGAAUAUCAAUAUGCUUAAAAAAAAAUCAUAAUACAUACCUCCUCCUAACUCAAAGCAGUUUUUCUCCCAGAGUGACCCAUCUUCAAGAUUACCACCACCAGCAAUCUAGUUGAGUUAGGGGCAAUCUGUGGCACCUUCUCAACUUUCUUCCUAAUCAUUCUUCCUCAUACUCUGGAUUUCACCUCCUAACAGCCCUCCAAUGGAUCCAGUUAGUUUAUCUCUGCUGCCACCACCACCAACCUUGUCUUAACUAGCCUCAGGAAGUUCCCCUUUACCACCUUCAUUCAAUUCUAAACAAUGCAAGCCAGAAUAUUUUCAAAGCUUAGAUCAAAUACAGAUAUGAUUUUGUCAUCCUUUGCUUUAAAAAGCUUAAACUUUCUGCUGUAAUUUAUAUAAAAUCAAAAUCAUUAAUGGAUCCUAUAGUUGAAUAUCUUGCCUAUCCUUCCACCCCAGCCUAAUUAAAUUUAUUCGUCUUUCAGAUCUGAACUUGAACAUCAAUUCCUCAGUGAAAUUUUCCUGAAUUCCUUAUUGUAGUAUUUCUAAAACUGACUAGAUACAGCGCAUGUGGAGUAAAUUUUUAAUUACUAUUUAGGAGACCACCUAUCUCUGUAGAUUUAAAACUAAUACAACAGAGAUCCUUCAGAUUAAAUAAUCUUUUUUUUUAAUUUUGCUUAUAAUAAGCCAAAAUAUUCAAGCACAUCAAAUAUCUGAAUGACAUGAAGUUAAGAAGAAUAACAGUUAUAUAGCAUGCCAAUAUCUGUAGUCAAAAAGAGAAAAAUGGUCUCCUAGAAUACCAAGUCUUAUGGUCCCAAACAAGUUUGAAUUUAGCAAGGAUGUAACUAAACUCCUACACUAAUUCCAUAAAGUCAAAUGCAAAAUUGACAAAGCUUUUGUGAGUCUAUGAUUUAGUUGACCAAAUGCUUGCUGUGAAUUAAUGAGGAAGCAGUGGGACUGCCAAGUGAAAACAAUGCUACAAGCCAAAUUAUCCCAAUAAAUGAAAAGUAUCCAAUGCCAAAUCUCUAAUCAGAGCAGUCAUUUACUCUGUCCAUUAUGAACUGACUUUGUAAAGGAAAGAGGGUGUUAUAAGAAUUGGCUUAUUAGGAUAGUAAAGCAAUUGAAGAAAAUAAUGUUCACUGAUCAGGGAGUCAACAUAUCAAAAAUGGUAAGCCAGAAAAAGACAAAAAAUAGGGGGCACAACAGAUGACUUCAAGAAUAUCAAUUACUGUAAUUAGGAAUAGAGUUUAUAUAAUAACAAAAAAAUUUUGACUCAAUUUAUAAAAAAAAUUCUAACAGCUAAACAAAAUAUAAUGAACCCCAAUUGACCUAUUGACCUUCCUGUCACUCAGACAGAAAUUAGAUGUCAGUCUAAUCAGAAUUUUGAAAUGGGGUAUUCCCAUACUUGGUUAGACCUAAUGAUCUGUAAUGCUACUUCCAAACCCAAGUCUAUGAAUGAGGAGUAACUUACUAAAGAGGAUUAGAAUUAAAAAAUUAAUACUUUUAAAAUCAAAAUACAUAAUUUCAGUGUCAGGAAAGUUAGCAUUUGUGAAAGUAUUUUGCAAACUAAAAGCAAUCUAUACAGAAAAACUUUAUUAUUGAUUAGGAAUUGAAAGAAAAUCUGGUUUAAUAUUUUUAUAUCUAUAUUUAAGUUCUCAAAAGAAAAUUAUCUUUAACCUUUAUUUAUUAUUGAGAGAUAGAGAUAGAGGAUGAGCAUGGGAGGGGCAGAGAGAGGAGGAGACACAGAAUCCAAAGCAGGCUCCAGGCUCUGAGUUGUUAGCACAGAGCCCGACGCGGGGCUCAACUCCCAGACGUGAGAUCAUGACCUGAGCUGAAGUCCCAUGCGUAACCGACUGAGCCACCCAGGCGUCCCUAUAUUUAGGUAUGUUUUAUUUAAAAAUGCAAACACUAUUGGAGGCGUUAAGUGGCCGACUUCGGCUCAGGUCAUGAUCUCAUGGUUCAUGCGUUUGAGCCCAGCGUCGGGCUCUGUGCUGACAGCUCAGAGCCUGGAACCUGCUUCAGAUUCUGUGUCUCCCUCUCUCUCUGCCCCUCCCCUACUCGUACUUCGUAUCUCUCUCUCUCUCUCUCUCUCUCUCUCUCUCUCAAAAAUAAAUAAACAUUAAAAAAAAUUUUUUUAAUGCAAACACUAUUCAACUAAUACUCACGAGUAAUUUUCAUUUUUACUUGAAGUCUUAAAACUUAAAACUUCAGAGUUUAUUUUCUGUAUGGAAAAACAUUUUUUUAAGCUGGAAUUAUGUAUAUAUAUGCUAAGUACUUUAGCUUUAAAGAUACAAUCUGUAGAUUCAUACUUCAUUUUAAAAGAGAAGCCAGAAAUUUUUUGUUGCCCCAAAUAUUGUCCUCAUAUUACAAUGUAAGUAGGCCUUAUUUUUUUUUAGAAAGAAAGCAGAUUUUUUAAUCAAGAGUAUUGUAAGCAAUAAAUCCAUGUAUCUCUUAUUUGCUAAAAAUGUCACUCUUUUAUAAAUGAUAUAUAACAUGCUACAUAGGCAAAACCUUGUCAAAGCCAAUGAAUGUCUUGACAGUAUACAGAAUUUGGUUGUUGGCUUCUACAUUAAAGAAAAAUUAAGAUUUUCAAUUACAUUGCUUAUGCUAAAAGUUUAUUUAAAAACUGCAAUUAACUGUUCAUUCUCUAUAAUGAACUAAAAAAGAUAUUAAAUGGUGUGUGAAAAUGAGAAAUGUGUACUUGAUUUCAGGUUUAUGUUAGUUUUAAUGGAUAGUGUAAUACAGUAAUUACAAAUAUGGGAUAUAUUCAAAUCUUGCCAUCAGCACUUACUAAUAGUAUGGAUUUAGCCUGGUUCUGCUUUUCAGUAAGCGUCAGGGGUUUUGUUUGUUUGUUUGUUUGUUUGUUUGUUUGUUUGUUUGUUUUUGUAAUGAGUCAUAAUGUUUAAAAUACUGGGCAAAGAAACUUUACAUGGUACCUGGCCUAUAGCAAUCUCUCAAUAAAUGGUAAGAAAGAGGUACUAACUGUGUCAUUGGACUGUAUCCAACAUGUAGGCAUAGAGACUGAACUAUAUAGUCAUCUAAUAUUACCCUUAUCUAUUCUAUUCUUUCAACAAAUUAAAAAAUUUUUUUUUUGAGAGAGCAUACAUGCAAGCGGGGGAGGGGCAAAGAGAGAGGGAGAGAGAGAAUCUCAAGCAGGCUCCACACCCUCGAGGAGCCUGACACAGGGCUUGACCUCACAACCGUGAGAUCAAGACCUGAGCCCAAAUCAAAAGUUGGUUGCCUGGGGCACCUGAGUGACUUGGUUAAGCAUCUAAUUCUUGAUAUUAGCUCAGGCCAUAAUCUCAUGAUUCAUGAGAUCUAGCCCCAUAUUGGGCUCUGUGCUGACACCAUGGAGCCUGCUUGGGUUUCUCUCUCUCUCCUCUCUCUGCCUCUCCCCUGCUCUCUCUGUCUCCCUCAAAAAUAAUUAAACAAACUUCUAAAAAUGUUAAACAACAAAAAAAAGAGUUGGUCACUUAAUCAACCAAGCUAUGCAGGUGCCCCAUAACAUUAUCCCUAUCUGAUAGUAAUCCAAAGUGGAAAAAGAAAAAAAAAAAAAAAAAAAAAAGCUACUGUGGAGGUUCAAAGAGGUAUGCGAAGACAGAGGAAGGAAAGACUCAUUCUGACUCAUAGAAUCAGAAGAUUCCUGAGGCGAUAAUCUCACUUUAACACUGAAAUAAGUGUUAAAUGAUGGGUAAAAUUUCCACAGGUAAAAACUGUAAACAAUCAGUGAAGAGAUUAGCUGGUUUUAAGUAGUUAAUUAAGUUAUCCAGACUUCCUCCCAAUUUGUGUUCUUUCUACUUGGCUUAGUAAUUUUAUUUGACUUUAAUUACCUUUUAAAAAUGGAGAGUUUAAACAAAAUGAAGUAGAAGUACCAAUUAAUUUUUCUUUUUUAAUUAUACAUUCUUAGGCUUUAGAUAAAAUGUGAAAACCCCCCUUCAAGUAAGACCCAGGUGUAGCAUUCUACAUUCUUUUUUAUAUAUCUCGACAUCCUUCCUUACACGACAGUGCAUAAGAGUAUGUUCUUUAAACAGGCACCUUUAGUCUCAGAACCCACCUUUGUCACUCACCUGCAAUGUAGCAAGUUCUUUCAUUUCUGUAAUCCUCAAUUUCAUAUCUUUAAAAUGCAAACUCUACAGGUAUCUAUAUCACAGGUUUGGUAUAAGGACUGAUAUAGUAUAUGUUCAGUGCUAAGUGGAGUGUCUAAUUUGGAAACACUAUUAUUGGCAUAGUUAUCACUCUUUCUUAUUAGUCCAUUAAAAGAUUUUUAUAUAAAUUUUUAGCCCUGAUAGGCCUAUUAUAACAAUAUGGGCACUUUAAAAACAAAAUCGAAGGACACAAUUUUUAGUUUUGUAUGUAUGACAUUUAUAAAGAAAUUGUUAUGUUCAUGUAGAAAAAUAAGUAAACAACGAGUGAAAAAUUUUAGAAGUAAAAUAUUAGUAUAAUCAUAUUAGAAAAACUUAAGUUACUCAAAAAUAAGUAAACUCUUUAUGCCCACAAGAUACCAUCUAGCUUACUCAGUACUUGAAACCAUAUUAAAGAAUGUCUAGACUUUUAUUUUAAGACACUUCCACUAUAUAUUCCUCAAAACAGUAAAAGCCACUAUCCGUCAAAAACAACUAUCCACUGAGCAACAAGUAGUGGAAAGAAUAUCAUGAAGUUAGUUCUGUGAGAGCACAAAUCAUCUCUGCAUUUUUAAAACCCAUUCCGGGGGUUAGCACAAGACCUUGCUCAUAGUAGGCACUUAAUACAUUUUUGAGAAAUGAAAGGCAUGAACUGACUUGGAAACUUAUUUCUAAGACUGACUUUCCCAUGACUUAUCUGUGACCUUCAACAAGUCCCUUGAGUUUGUCUGGCCUUCUUUGUCUCCAUCGACAAAGAAAUUAAAAUUCCUUAAAAUUCUAAUCAGUAGAAGAAUCUGUGUAAAACAAUAUAGGAUACUUUGUAAGUAGGUUGAAGAAAGGUCAAAAACACCUCAGAAAAUACUGAAUUGAAUGGUUAAUUAAGCAUGUUCAAAUAGUCAAGAGCACUGGAAAUUUAGCUUUCUUACCACCAACCUGGAAACAUCCUAUAGGAGUUGAUGUUUCACAUAUAUCACUGUUAUGAAAAAGCUAUCAAUAUCUCUUUUCUGCUUCUUAACUCAGUUCCUCCUGCUACAGUCAUUUCUGCCUAGUCUUUGGUAGAGGUGACUUUUUUUUUUUUCUGUUUGUUAAUUCAGAGGUACUGGCCCAUCCUAAUAAAAACCAAGAACGAAAUAAAAAGUCAACUUAGGGUUCUGUUUGUUAUUUUUUAUUUACAGAAAGAAAAGAAAAAGUCUACCACUCAGGCAUGCUUUAAAUUAGAAACAGAGAACACGAAACACUAUUUACCAGAUAUACUUCAGUUUUAUAUUAGAGCCAAUUAAAGGAAAGAGAGUGAGAGAUAAAAAGAAAGGGAACCGAAAGGGAGGGGAAGAGAGAGACAGAGCUUUGGGAUUUGCCAAGCCCUGAGAGGCAAUGACUCUUACUCAUAAUGAUCCUUGGAAAAACAAAGCACAACCCUUUAGAUAAAAUAAAUAAAUAAACUUUACCAGAAUUAGUUAUAAAUUAUAUUUUAAUUAAUGUUUAAAAUUUGAGAGCAUAGCAAAUCUUGCUCUUACCCAGAUAAAGGGCUCUGUCUUCUUGCACAUAAAAGAGCAUAUAUAACACUGACUUGUAGGGGGGGAAAAGUGGUUCUUUUUUUUUUUUUUCGACAUCUUAAUUUUGCUGACAUUUCAGACAUUGAUUCCAAGUAAUUCCAAAGCCAAGUUGCACAUUUGCAACCCUAUAGACAAUGAUGUCAUUUCUAGGUAGUUGAGAUAAAGUCCUAAAUAAAAUGCAGCAAAAAAUCUAUCCAGUCGAUAGGCUAAAGCUUUCUUAAUAAAAUAAUCCUUUAAUGCUUAUAUUUAUGCUCUUCAGGAUAAGUGAUCCAGAUCUCACCUUUUUUUCCUUAGAUCAUAUCUGAAUAUAUUCAAUCAAUAUUGUGAACACUUAUCUCACUUCCAGUUUCUUCAUAUUAUCUCUUGAAACUAGAUAAAGUAUCAUUUUCUUCUUUAAAUUAUAAACUUUCUCCUGAAAACUGUUCAUGAUUCCAUCUUCAAGUCAGUUUUAAACAAAGCUAACUAUUUAAAGAAAUUCUACAUAGGAACAUAGAGAAGAAAGAGUCUUACUCUACAAACCAUAGCCUGAUGUAUUUGUCUUGGCAAAUUAGAACUUUUCACUUACAUGAGUUGUUUAAAAUCUGGCAAACCUGCCCCGUCAGAGGUUUGACAAUGACUGAGUUCGGAAACAGUCAUCAAGUGGUCCCUGAGUAACAUACUUCUCAGUGCCUAUCCAGAAUCAUCCUUGCUCUCUCAACUUUUUGGUACAUUUCUGUCAAUGUAAGUUUGUCAGGCACUAUGGUUCUGAGACCUAUUUUAUUCUGCUGCAUGUUUCCCAGGUGUCCUUCAUCUUAACAUUGAAUAAUGGUUAAUUAACCGCAGUAUUUCAAGUAACAUUUCAUUAGGUCAUAUGCAGUCUAUUUCCAAAUUAGUGAAUUUCAAUCAAUGUGCUGAAAUCCAUCUCCCUCAAACUAAACACAGUGAGAAGUGAAAACAUUCCUACUCAGUAAUGUGAGUCUUGGUUGGAAAGUUUUUUAAGUAUGCCCAUUGUAAUUAAAUAAUAAAAGCAUUGCAUUUCCACAUUAGAGUAUCAGAGCUGAGUAAGGAGACAGUAGUACAAGAAGUAAUAAAUUUACUCUAACAAAAACCAGUUCCACUAUGACAUAAUUGCUAUUACUGGUUUAUGGAGAAGAGUCCCAGGUAUAGAAAUUAAAGUAAAUUAACUGAAUUAAAUAAUUUGGACUUAUUGUAAACAGCAAACUUAUUACUUGAGUUAUAACUGAAUGUUAAAGAUCACAUAUUUCUGUUAUUAUUUCUAAUAAAUAUGUAACUUCUUUAUAAGUAUAUUUAAUCGAUUUUGCUUGUGUAAGCUGAAACAAGCACUAUUUAGGCAUCACAAAUUUUCAUGGAAAUAGAAUGACAAAUCAUUUUAAGAAAACGAAUGAUUCACUGCUUGAUACAGUCAUUUGAACGAGUUAAAAGUUAAUAAUUUGAGAUAGAGAACAUAAAUAAUGAUUUGAGAUAGAGAACCCCAAACUGAUAAUAUUUUUUGCAAUUUGGUUUUCCACUCUUGCAGGCAUAGUUUAUUUUCCUAGACUGUACCCAUGGACAUGACUAUAUAUUAGAAGAAAGCCAAAGUAAACCCUUUAAAGUAUAGCAUCUUUUUAGUAGUUAGGGAAAACAAAACCCAAAAAUGACUGAACAGUAUGCUGCUAACAUUUGCUAAUAGAACACUGAAAUGUAACACAAAAGAGUAUGAGCUUCAGAAUCAAAAAUCAUUUAGUAAAUUAUACUCUUUAAUUUUCUUCAUCUUAGACUAGAAAAAAAAACAAUGUGGAGUCUUGCCUUAUGCCUUUUUCACCCUGUCCUUUGUGCCCCUUAAAAACUCUAAGCUCAUUUUUUUUUUUGAACUUUGACUCAGAGUAACUUCUUAAUCUCCUUGGAAUGCUUUUCUCCCAUAUUCUUCUCCUGUUUCAUUUCUAUCUUGUGUCUCCCCUCACUCUGGCCACAGUAUUUAUCUAUUUCUUAAUCCUAUUUAAUUUCUAAAAAGGAUAUAACACUACCAGGAAUUACGUGAUGUAAUUUAUGUGUGAAUUUACCCUCCACCUGAGUGACAUCCGUAUUAUUCACAACUGUUUCUUCAAUACCUAGAAAUAUUACACAAUAUAUUACUUAUGCAUCAAUAAAUAGUUAUAAGUGAUUAAAUGAAUACUGAAAGAGACAGAAGUUUUAUUAUUUUCUCAAAAUUCAAAAUUCAAAUUCAACAGAUCACUUAAUAGGAUUGUGACCUGGAGCAACUUACUUCAAUUUUAUUAAAGGAUAAUGAUAUUUCAGGGGGUUAUUACAUCAUAUAAUGAGAGUGAAGUACUUACCUCUGUGUCUAUUCUAAAAGCUCAAUAAAUGGUGGCUGCCAUUAUUGCAAAUUUUAUCUCUAAAAGGGUCUUUUGGGGGAGUGUAAGAAUCACAGUCAUUCAGAAAGCCUGUUUCUUCUCUUGGCUUCCUGCCCGUUAGAAGAGCAGGAGGAACUCUUGCAUGGGGCAGCUCACACAUGAGAAAGCCUUCUGGCCACACAAAAUGUGCACAUCUGUUCCUUAGGCAGCCCAUAUUCAUAUGUUAUCUUAACUGAGCAACCUUGAAAGGCAGGGGCAAAGGAGAAGGGAGCAUGAUAGAGAAGAGCAACCAUUUCCCUCCAGAAGAACUUUCUUUGAGCACUUUGGUUGAAACACUCUUGUACGCUUCCUAAUCUGAUUAAAUGGAUUAGAAGCAGCCUCCAAAAAGAUCUAUUGAUAGAGGUUACGUGUAUUUUGUGUCAUACCUAUCCAGGUGAAUACAUCAACUCAAGGUUCCCUUCAGUAGACAAAAAAUAACCACACUGAUUUUCCUUUUUUUAAAAAAAAAGUUUAUUUAUUUAUUUAGAGAGAGACAGAGUGGGGGGAGGGCAGAGAGAGAGAAAGAGAGAGUGAAUCCCAAGCAGACUCCACACUGUUAGUGCACAAAGCUCGAUGCGGGGCUCGAACUCACAAACCAUGAGAUCAUGACCUGAGCCAAAGUUGGAUGCUUAACCAACAGAGUCACCCAGGUGCCCCGACUUUCCCUUGUAAUACAUGUAUUGAUUUCUGCCUGUUUCUUAGCUAUGUUCAGAUUAGCCUGGGCUUUCCUCUCAGAUACAUGGUUAAUGUUUUCUUGGGAAAAGAGCUGAGCAUUAAGAAACUAAAUUAGAUACACUAGCAUAAGAAAGCAGUACUUUUUAGACUGGGCUAUUCUUAUAUUGUUUAUAUUUCCUCUUUCCCUUACUAGUUUUGCUCAGGAUUAGUAUUGAGUGAAAGUAGUUUGGAAAUUUCUAUCUUAGGUCAAAACCAAAUGGGAAAAAAAGGCAACAUAUUUUGUUCAUAGUGUGGCAGAACUUUGAAUAUGGGACAGCAUAAUACUUGGGGCCUGUAUGAUAAUGAAAGCAGUCAUUUGGAGGCAACUCUGGGAAGGAUGAAAUGCCUAGGGAGAUAAUUCAGGUUGCUUGGUCUCCUGCUCUUCAUCACAUGUAAAUUAUCUUUCUAAUGCUAAAUGCUUUUGCUUUGUAACAAAAAGAUGGCAAUUUUUGUUUCAUUGUAUUACUUAAAACAUGGGCAAUUUUAGGUUACUAAAACUUGAUGCUAUUUUAUUGUUUGUGAGAGAAAACCAACAUUGGAGAACUUGAAUAAAAUCAGCCAUAUGACAGCUGUGUUAAAAAAAUAGCUAACUUAACAUGGAUGAGAUAUUAUGCCAAAAACACUAGACAUGAUUUAUCUCACGCCACCUUUCAUUCAAUCUUAUGAAGUAUUGUUAUCCCUAUAUUACAGAUGCAGAAACCAGGGAUUAGAGUUUUUAAAUAACUUGCCCUAAAUCAUAAUAUCAGUAGAUAAUACAGUCCAGAUUCAUUCUCAGGCCAGGUUUCAAAACCCACUCUGAAAUAUGUGUACUGACUUGAUACGACCUGCUUUUAAUUGUUCCAAAAGAGAACUGAGAGGCAUAGUUAGAUUACACAUGAGGUAUGAUGAUUUGUUGACACACUUACAUCAACUGCCUCUAACACUCUGAUUGUCAAAUUGCACGUUGAAAUAGAUUCUGGGGCACCUGGCUGGCUCAGUCAAUUAAGCGUCCAACUCGAUUUUGGCUCAGGUCAUGAAAUCAUGGUUAGUGAGAUCAAGCCUCUUGUCAGUCUCAUCGCUAACACCGUAGAGCCUGCUUGGGAUUCUCUCUCUCCCCCCAUCUCUCUGCCUCUCCCCUACUUGAGCUCUCUCUCUCUCUCUCUCCGUUUCUCUCAAAAUAAAUAAAUAAACAUUAAAAAAUAUACUCUAAAAUAAUCAUAUGUAAGAAUAUGAAAUGGAAACAAUCCAAACCCACAAACCACAUUUUCUAUUCUGUGGCUAUGCUAGGAUAGAAAGGGAUACUAUAACAUUAAAACAAAGCAGUGUGUUUUGUGAAACAUUCUCCAAGUGUAUGAAACAAUUGUUUUAAUAUUUUGAGUAACAGAAGCACAUUUAAAAAUUUACAGUAGGUGAAAUCGGUUGCAUUUGAAAAAAAAUACCUGAAUAUUUUUAGAGUUUUAUUUAAAGAAACCAAUGUGUUUAUCAAGGAUGUAUUUUGGUUUUCAUUUACCAAUUGAUUUUAUUUGUACUGAUGUACUUACAUGUGUUAAUGAAUAUGUUUAGAGAAAAACAAUAUGCAGCACUAGAAACAUUUGAGCAUUUUUACCACUAGGCCUUGAUAGAAAGCAUGUGUGGGACAGCAUCUGUCUGCAUUUAAGUUGCACAGAACCUGGAGGAAGAAAUGGAAGACACUAAAGCAAUAGCUAUAGGCUAAUAUUACAGAUAGUUGGACAUAUUUACACAACACAAAGUGAAUUUAUUUUGCAGCGGUUCAGUUUAAGACAACAAUAUGGACAGCUAAACUGGAUAUCAGGGUUCAUAAAACAAAGUAUUUGGCUUGAAUUCUAUAGGGUGGAUUAUCUAUGUUGCCCAUGUUAUUUAGACGAUUUUGUAAAACACUCAAAAUAAGCUUUAUGUCUCUGUACUGAAAUAAUUUCAUGUAUCCUCUUAAGUAUUUGGUUUUUAUAUUAAAUAUUUUAUUUAUAAUAGGAGUUCAUUCUAUUAUUUCAAACUUUUACCCAUCGUAUGGCUUUAUUUGUGUUCUAAAGAAAGAAAUGCAGUAUCUCUCUUCAUCACAGAGUAAGAGACUAAGAAGCUGUUCUUUUUGUUUGUUUUUGCUACUAGACUCAAAAUAGCUAUAUCUUUAGAAGAGAAUAGAUGCAGGCAGUUCGUUUUUACGUCCUUAACUUUCAAACGAGAUUGAGGUAGGAGCAGAGUCAUCAGAAAGGAGGGAAUUCUGAAAGGAACAGAUACUAUCAUAGAGGAAAAAAGGAAGCUUAGGUGUACACAAAGAAAGUUUAAAUUACUUUCAGCUAAUUAGUUAGCAUUCCAUUUUAUUUAUUUUUAAUCUUUGCACAUGUGAAUAUUAUGAAUCCCAAUUGUCAUAAUAUAAAUGCUGUGCAUUUUAUGUCCCUUAGCUUAUCUUUUGGCUCUUCUAUUACGAAUGUCAUUUUUAAAAGCCUUCUUUAGUGUUUGUUUUCCUUCAUUCCAACUUACUCUUUACAAACUUUUCUUAUUUUCUGUCUAAGCAAACCUUCCUAGUAUUUUGGCCAUAAUUUGAAAACUAUGAAAUUUUGUGUUUAUAUAUAUGUCUUAACCAACGGACCCAAAUAUAAGUGCGUUCAGCAGAAAGGGGCAAAAUAGCCCAGCUAAGGAAAACAUUUUAUUUUAUUUUUCCCAUGAUGGUAGCUGAGUUAUUCAAAUUCUGUUAUGAAAAAAAAGUGUAUAUUUGCAUGGGUGAGCAGUUUUUCUCUAUAAAUAAUUGGCACUGCACGGACACAGAAUAAACCCAAGGAAGGCAUUUUAAAAUAAGACCAUGUGGACAUAUUUUACAUGUUCAUAAUGCUCAUCAUAGACGAGUGAUCAAUUACAAAAUAAAAAUAAAAAUAAAUACAUAAAUAAACUAUACAUAAUAUAAAUGAUCCUGAAAAGAAUAUUCUUUACUAGGUCUUUUCUCACACUCAUUAAUUUUCUUCACUCUCAGCGAACAUAAAACACUUGUCACUGCUGUGGUAUUUUAUCAAAAGAGAGCCAUCUUUGUAUCAAUGUUGACUUUACUUAAAUAGUAACAGCAGUCAUGCCACUUCUCUGUUAAAAAAAAAAACUUUUGGAGAUUCUUCUUUCUAUAGAAUACCAUCUAUGCUCUGUUUUUUGGUCCCUGUCCACACCUCCCUACCUCACGCACUGCAAAGUCAAAUCAAGGACUCUCGAAUAUGAAAACACUAGCAGGUCUCAGCUGUUUCUAUUCUGAAGGGUUCCAGCUGGAUUUCACAUACUUGUCGCAUAUAACUGUCUUAUGCUCAAUGAUCGACUUAAGAGCCAUCUCAUUCAUGAAGACUUUUCAUUGCCUCCCUCAUAGCACCCACUUCUGUGGAAGGCAUGUAAGUGAAUACGGAUUUGGAUUGAAUUCACUUCUAGACCCUUUAAAAUACUAAAGCUAUAUAUAAAGUCACAGAUCUAUACCUGGAAGAAAUUUCAGAGACAAUAUAGCUUAAACUUUGCUUUAGAAAACCUUAGCAUCCCACCCUAACUAUAGUAUCCUGGGCACAUAGUUUACUUAGGGUAAGGUGAUAUAGUGAUAAAAUUAAGUUAAAAUCUUCUUAAAGUUUCCAAAGUAGAAGUCAUUAGUUUGUAUUCUAUAGGAUAGAUUAUCUAAAUUGACCAUAUUAAUUUCUGUAAUGAAAUCCUUCCUCAUAUCUUCCUACAUUUGUGUUUAGUUUUGAUAUAGUUAUUCAGUUUCAAAAGGAUUCCUUUCUAGUAGUUUAAAACGUUACCCAUAAUAAACCCUCAAAUAAAUGCUUCUUGAAGAAGAAAGAACCUGAGUUGGUCUUUGAGCAUAAGUAAUUCAGUCAUAUGUGGACAAUCUGGUAAGGUAGAUGUGGAUUCAAUCUGAGGAAUAGUAUUUCCUGUCAUUAAUAAUGACUUUUCCUAAAAUUUAUUUAAUUUUAUUUUACAUAGGAGGACCUCCAGUAAAAGGUGGUAAUAUUUUCAUAUCUCACAUAUGACUGGGCCAAUUAGAAAAAAAUUCAGUAGAGCUGAACAAUCUCAUUGAUUGCUAAGUCUAUAUUUGUAUCAGUUUAUCUACUCUGAAUACAGUGUUAUCUUUCUCAUGCUUGGUAUGCAUAAUCACUACCACCACACAGAGGCUCUAUAAACAGGACAACCACAAUCAUAAACAGGCUAUAUAAACAGGAAAACCUAUGUGGUAUAGUGAAAAGAGCAUUAUCUGUGUGAGAAUCUGACAGACCCAAAGUUUUCAAAUUAAUCAGUUGUAGGAUUUUUUAAUCCAUUAUCUAACUUCACUGAAUCUCAGUUUCUACAUUUUUCAGAACAAAUUAAAAUAUUAACCAUGGUAAGAGAUUAAUAGAAGAAAUUUAUGUAGAGGUCCUGUAUAGGCAAACUUCCUGUUCCUAUGUGUGUCUCCCCAUACUGAAGCAACUCAUUUGUCUCUGUUUUAAAGCAUUAUAGGUUUUCCCUAAUUAAGAUUUUAUUGAGUGAAUCUUGGGGAGAAAAAAGAAUUCUUCCAUAUUUGGAGCAGCUGCUAUGAACUGUGAAUGUAUCUCAUUUGAACUAUUAUUAAAAAAAAUAAAAUAUGUGAUUUCUCUUGCCUUUUAGGAGCCUAAGUUGCCAAAGGAUUACCUUGCACAAAAAUCUAUUUUUCUCCUUUGUUUGUAACUCUGUUGUAACAAUCAUUCAUCUCACUG
RNAcentral lists this long non-coding RNA (84932 nucleotides) under Lynx pardinus (Iberian lynx). Lineage: Eukaryota; Metazoa; Chordata; Mammalia; Carnivora; Felidae. The record is from RNAcentral.